This 80784-nucleotide long non-coding RNA is filed under the name Phoenix dactylifera (date palm). RNAcentral describes it as "long non-coding RNA (PDAC_LNC001545)". The record is from RNAcentral. Lineage: Eukaryota; Viridiplantae; Streptophyta; Magnoliopsida; Arecales; Arecaceae.
CUUGCAUUUGAGUUCUAGUGGAUUUCUAGAUUUUAUUAGAUAUUUCUAGAAUUUGGUACAUUUAUGAUGCAGUUAAAUAUUUAUACUUUGGCAAGCUGUCUAUUUUGGAUGUGGAUGGUGGUUGUGUUUGAAUUAGGUUAAGAUGAAGACUUAUUGCCUUACGUUAAAGACCUUUUCUUGUUAUCUUAUUCUAAAGAGAAAAAAAUACUUUGCUUUACAUUAUGUUCGAUUUUGUUAGGUGGUUGUAUAGAUUGAGAGGCCUUGUAUAUUUUAUAAGGCCAUGGCAUGUGGGACACCGGACAUGCAACCUUGCCCAGUUUUUCAAUACAGGCACUUACGGUCUCCGAUUUUGCAUCUCUAUCUCUAUAAAUUUAUAUUUUGCAUCAAUACCAUUUCAAAUACAAAAUAACAAAUAAUGCAGAAACUUCUUCAGAUAUUUUUUUUUAUUUGGUUAUCUUUUCGUAUUACAGUAAAACUUAUGAAUUGAUUUGGUUUGAACUAAUUUACAAUUUGCAUAUGUUGUUGGCAAAUUAGAUUAUUAUAUCUUUUCAUUUGGCUGAUUAAAGGCUCCAAUCCAAAAUUAAGGCCUGAAAUUUGGGCAGAAUCUGUCUUUGCAAGCUUAUCCAUCAGUGUGCCAUACCACUACAAGGGGCGGUUUCACUUCGUUAGCCACCACGGAGAGCUCGUAUGGCUCAACAGUCCCCCUGCCGGCAACAAAUCUAAUCCAAUGCUGAGAUGGACAUUGAAGGGCCUUCUAUCUAUCAGUAUAUACGGGGAGACGGCAUAUUUAUCACACAGUAGAUAUCAUUGAUAUUCGCAUGUAUAACGUACCUGUAAGAGCCAUUUGAAAUCUGUAAAUUCUUAAAUUUCAGCAGAAUGAUGUGAAGAAUUGGAUGAUUAACUUUUCAUAUCAUUGUUACCUUGAAAAGAUUUAGGAUCAGCAAUGUUGGAUCUAUGACAGGCAGAGGUAUGAAUGACAUGAGAAGCUCCACAUGCAUGAUUUCCAUAUUUCUAAAGAGCCAAUUUUCCUAGCAACUCCUGUGAGUCUGCAAAUUGCUUUGGUGUACAGGAAUUUUCUGAAAGUCACAUAUGCGAGGGUGUUACAAUAAUUUGAAGAGAGAAGCUCAUCUUUUAACCAAAAAGAAGUAGAAGUCAUAGCUCAACUAUCAUUACAGCAAUGCUCUUCUUGCUGCUACCUGCUGAUAUUACUUAUCGAUUUCCUUUUUAAAAAAUAAUUAUUGCCAGUUAAUAAAACAAAGCUCCAGGACGGUGUUCUUGAACCGUCCUACUUCCAUCUUCCAUUCCAUUGUGAACUACUCAAUUGGUCAAACAUCAUUGUACUCAUAACAUUACCUUAUCCAAAAGUGAACUUAUAGCUUACAAUAAGAGAAGAAAGUUGGUUGCAACCAUAUGCCAACUAGUGGCAUCUAAAGAUAUUACAUAACAAACAUGGGUAGUACAGGAAGUGGCUUGAAUGUGUGCGUGCAUGUUACUUCUCAACAUGACGAAAUGCACAAUUCAGGAAUUUCUCUGAACACAUGAUUAGUGGUGAUCAUGAUUAGAAGAUUGUACAAGGUUGCAAACAACAUAGUCAACCAAGUAAUGACUCCACCUCUAAUCAAAAAAAUAAAAGUAAUGGAUCCAUCCACAAUCCAAAUAAUUGACAGAUUAAAAAAUUAUAAAUUAUCUUAUCUUUCGUUAGUCAAACCAAAUAAAAAAUAAUUGACCUAAUUAAUCACCAAUAUCCAAAAACUUACAUAUUUUGUGAAUUAUCCAUCAGCUAAAUGUGGCUCAGGUAUCAUGGGUUAUUGGUUAAUGAUGUUCUGAUGUCGGUUAGUUCAGAUGAGCAAGUUGGUUUCGCAGCCUGACAUCAAAGUUUUGCAUCCUAAUUAAACUUGGAGCUACUUGCAUAGGUAUCUUAAAAGAUUCCUAUCACAAGCCCCUGGCAAAUUCAACGGACUUGUAACUAUUAUAGCAAAAGACCAAAUAUGGAAAUGUCCUCUACUUCUAUAAGAUGGAUAAGAAAAUGACAACCUCCAAGCCUGAUUCUGCUGUAUAUUCAUAGUCCCUUUUAUGUCCAGUUAUUUGGCCCUCAUCAAUGCUUCCCAGAUGAUCACAAAUCCCUGUACCAGUAGUUCACACUUUUGCUGGUAGGCCAUUCAUUCUCCAACUGAGACUAUUUAAUGAUGCAUCAGUAUUGGACUUGAGUUAGCCUUGAUGGCGGGAAUACCAAUUAAAUUGUAAGCAUAGUCUCCCUAUCUUGACAUUACUCCUACGCUCUUCCCAAUAAACUCUUCCUGUGUUUUAUUAUCAUCCCAAAUCUUCCUGCUGGAAAAACCUUCCUAUCCUUGGCCAGUCACACCCUACAUAAGCAACAACCAAAAAUUGGAGCUCGAACCAUUUAAGUAAGAUUGAUAUGUUUUAUGAAGACGUUGAUGAAGAAUAGAUGUGAAUCUUUGAGUAAGUUCUUGUGACACUUUUUCUAUUUUUUUAGCAAUUGUGUUAGUUACAACUUAAAUUGACUGUUCAACUCUGCAAAACUCAAUGAAAAUCUUUGAAGUUUUCUAUAUUCCAUGUACACAAUGGCAAAUAUCAUUGUUAUGUCUUCUUUUACUGUGUUUUGUGCACUCCUUCCACAGUGCCACCAUCAUGCUCAUAUAUGCAGAACCAUAAUUAAGAAAGGUGGAUUAAUAAAUAUAAAAAGAAAAGCUAUCAAUAUACUCAAUCAAGCGUAUCAAAAUAAAGAUGUGAGCACUAUUAAUGAGAUUGAAAGAGAAGUUGGAUGAAGUCUUCCCAUGCAAGCGGAGCCAUUUUAUAAAUAUUAGUUGCUUAACAUGCAUAUUGCUGACUGUGAGAAAGUAUACUGUUGCUUCCCACAAACAGUAGCAGGUUGAUUUUUCUCAUAAAAAUGACCUUGAGAAAAUCCUUCCUGAUGAGGACAGAAGUUCCCAUUUCCAAUGCUCUAGAAAUGAUUUUGACAGAAAGAGUUGGUGGAAGGAAAAUUGAAUGGUAACUACACAAAUUGUUAUUACUUUUGAUCAUUUGCAAAUAUACCUCUUCAUGUGUAGGAAGUGUCUUGGUUGGAAGAAUUCGAGAGUAAAAACUGGCAUGGACCAAUGUUGAUCUACAUGAACCAGUACUGACCAACAUAUUAGACAUAUAAUAAUGGUCAGCUAAAUAAUAUUAAAAGUCAAAUUAUCAAUAAAUAGAUGGACCAACUUCAUUAGAAAAAGGGAUAGUAAGCUUAUUAGGCCUGAGCUUUCAUUAGCUUAGUUCUCAGAUCUUCUGCAUGAAUCAUGUUACAGAUUCAGUCUAGCUUCUAUUAAUAACUGCCUGAACAAAGUUUUUGAAAUCAGUUCUAGAUUUGUUCUUGGAGGAUGAUAAAAUUCAAUACGAAUAUACAGGUUAGUAGCUCAAUUUUCAUAAUGAUACUUAAGGAUACUCCAGUUAAUGCUUAACAUUUAUCUUCCCUCCCUGUUUGCAUGUUUUUUGACCAUAUAAAAAGAAUAUGGAGAGUCAAUGAAAGUUUUAGUUCUGAUCUCACAUAACUCAAUCAUUAUCUUUAUGAAGAAAAUUCAGCAGCGCAUGCAUUCACAAUAGAAGCAUGAAAUGAGUCACAAAUUAUCAAAGUACAUUGUGCUUCAAAGAAAUUCAGUGCAUAAAAAGAAAGAAUGUCCAGAAUAUAGGACAGUAAGUGAGAAUGAUUAAAGUUAAGGAAGAAGAGUUAUUGAGAAGUUUAUAAACGAGUGAAACAGCAUGAGAAAUGCAAACCAUAAUGAAGUUCCUGGAAAUGAUGUACGAAAUCAGAAGGUGUUUGACAUAAUAACUUUUGACAUCUCGAACCUCAACAUACCAUAUGGCUCCGGCUAGAGGCUCGCAACCGAUGGCGAUUGUUCCCCUUCUCUUUCUGAAUUACAACUCACAUGUCCCCAUGAACUUCAUCCAUGAAUCGAGCAAAACAAAAACAACUUUUUUCCCCUUCGGAUAGAAUUUUUUCUUCAAUGCAUCCUUUUUAUCUUCUUAGAAUGAUCAUUUGGGAUUACUAAAGAAUCUUCAAAUAACCAAUCCAGAGACAAAAAAAAGAGGGACCCUCAUGAGCAAAAAAUUGCGCCAGCAGCUUGCUUCAGAACUUAUUUCCAAAGUCGCGUUAAUCAAUCCAAGAUGUUCGACAUUUUUUUUUAGAAGUUUUCAUCUACGAUUCCUCAACUCCGAUCUUGCUGCAGUAUACAUCCCUCACUUCCGGAGCCUCUCUGCUGUAUCUGAUCACAUACUUCUCCAAGAACUCGUUCUCGUUACAAGCAAACAACCAUGGCCCCAACUUAUUCCUCUUACUAUUCCCAUCUUUCUUAAGCAGUCCCUUGGAUUCCAGCAGACGAUAUACCCUGAACCUCGGCAAGAGCCUUUUCUCCAGCCCAUACAUCAGCAGCUUCGGUUGCCGGGCGAGAACCUUGGGCGUCAACCCGACCUCGUUCACAAAGAACCUCACCAUCUUUCUCAUCUUCUCCUGCGACACGAGCACGAACAGCGGGGCGCGGCGGAACGCGAUGGCGAUCUCCUUGUCGGACCAGGCGAGGGAGCGGCGGAGGAAGGCGAGCCGGGCGUCCCAGGUGGAAUGCCGCAUGGCAUUGAGCGCGCGGACGGCGUGGACGAACAUGGCGGUCUCGGGGCGGACGCCGAAGCGGGCAGCGGAGUCGACGGCGGCGGCGAAGCGGGCAGGGGGGAGGGUGAGGGCGCGGGGUUGGGCGGCGAGGAGGGCGGAGAUGUGGGGGGCGGGGACGCCGCGGGAGAGGAGGAGGUCGACGUUGGGGGCGACGGUGGAGGGGAAGUUGGAGGAGAGGAGGCGGGGGAAGCGGCGGACGGCGAGGAGGAGGGAGUCGGGGGAGGGGAGGAAGAGGCGGAGGAGGGAGAAGGCGGGGAUGAUGUGGGAUUGGAGGCUGCAGGAGAGGAGGGAGGGAGAGGAGGAGAGGAGGAGGGGUAGAUGGGGAGGGGGGGAGGGAGGAGGAGAGGAAGGAGANNNNNNNNNNNNNNNNNNNNGGGAGGGGGGGAGGGAGGAGGAGAGGAAGGAGAGCUUGGGGGAGAGGGUGAGGUCGGGACGGGAUCGGAGGAGGGAGGGGCGGACGGAGACGAUGCGGGCGAUGUGGGAGGGGGAGAGGCCGUGGGAGCGGAGGAGGGAGAGGACUGCGAGGGAGUUGGCGGCGGAGGAAGGAUCGAGGUGGAGGCGGCGGGCGGCGGAGAGGGCGGAGGUUAAGGAGAGGCCGCAGGAGGAGACCAGGAAUUGGACGGUGAAGGAGGAGGGGGAAGGGGGAGGGUCGGUGGAGAGAGAUUUGCUGAAGAAUCUGGAGAAUAUGGUUGGAGCGGAGUAAUGGAAGGAGAGGAUUCGUUUGAAGAAGAGAGAAGACAUCUGAGAAAUGGGAGAUAUAGAAAAGGAGGAGGAGAAGAAGGGUGUUUUGAGGAUUCUCAGUGCGAAGUGGGAGGCUCAGGGAAGAAUUUAAGUAUCCAAAUGGGUCUGUUUUUAAUUUGGAUAUGAGGAUUGGGUUGGGUUGGGUCUGAAAUGGAGCUAUUUGAACCCAAUCCGUAGACUAACAAGGUCAAAAAUUAGUCAAAAUAUUAAGAUGAUUCCAUAAUCUAGUCCAGCCCAACUCAACCCAAAUGUCAUGAUUUACAAAUCAUGACCCAUGAAAGUCAUCAUUAUUUAGAUCAUAUCAUAAGUAAAUUUAGAAACGACAUAAUUUGUUGGGUGGAAAUUUUAUUUUAUCUCUUAUUUAUUUUAUCAGUACAACUUCAAUGCCGAACGAUAUAUGAAAAUAAAUUGUGUCCUCCACCCACUUUAUUUGAUAAGAUCUUCUCUCAAGCCUUGCUCACCCCUUCAAUUAGGAGAAUUUGGAGUGUGGCAUGCGUGACACACUUGUAUUUUUAUUUAAAAAAAGAGACCCCCAUCCAUAUAAAUUAUAGAUGCUAAAGACAUGCAGCACCUUUUGUUUUCAAUUUUUCUAAAUUCUUUAUGAUGUGCUGCACCAAGGAUGUAUAUUAAUCUACUAAUAUUACUUAUAACAAAAAUAGCCAUGGUAGAAUACAAUUCACCAUUAAAUAUGAUUUUAUAAUUCCUUAUGAACAUUGUUUGCUUUAUGUUAUUGUGGACCCAAAACCUGGUAGCUGGGUUUCAAGGUUAGAUAUCUCACUAACAUAAAACUUGGAAACCUUUAAGAUCUUCAAACGGUCGGUAGGGCGACAUAGUUCUACAUGCAAUUUGGAAGUAUCAUGAUCUAAAUAUCUGCUUUACAAGAUGAUGGUUUCACAAUUACUGUUUUCUGAAUGCUCCUUUCAGUGAUUGCAUUGGUUUAUCAAGUAAAUCAAGGAUUAUUCAAGAUUAAUAAUAGUACGUUGCUAAACAAAUAUUCCAUUUUCACAGCAGAAACUUUUUCUCAGCAACUCUUAGAAUAUGGAAGAGCUGAUAAAACAUGCAUUGCAAGCAGAAUGUGUUCUUGGUGAUGUGCAUCUCUAUCCAUACAGCAGUUGAGGACUGCAGUGAGACAACAAGGUAUUGAUGUCAUGCCCGUAAUUUUAGGCAUGUAACGCACCUACUAAUUUUGCUUCAUCAAGAAUAAACAAUACACAAUCAGGAAGAAAAUUUUCAGUGGCUUAAAGAGCAUGAUGAGAUGUUCUAUCUGGGAUUGAUUUGAAAAUUUGCAACACUGGACUUCAGAAAAGAGCCUAUCAGGUUCCAAACAGAAAUUUUUGAUCCAAAAAACCGUACUUGAACUGAUCGUCGUGAUCCUUCUCUGACAUACUCCAGUUCUCCAGAGAUACCAUCUUGAACAUAAUCAGGUUCUUCAAGAAGAGGCAAUGCAAUAGAGCCUUGGGACUCGAGGUUCUUAAUCCACCCACGCAACAAAAAGUUUACAACCUGUUGGCCACAAAAGAAUCAUCCUCCUCAUACCAUCUUCUUUCCCAUGAAUUAGAUACUCAAGUUUAUAAAGUAUCGAAUAAACACUUGAGUACACUGAAACUACGUUAUUGCACAAAUGCAAAAAUACCAAAGUAGAUGAGCACUUUCAGCUCAUUUGGCAGAACCAGGCAUAAAGAAAGAGCAGAUAUUCUAGCAUUUAUUGGAUGUGAACAAAUAGAAGUAAUUUCAAUUUAGAGAGAGUGGUGCUCAAAGUAAAGUUUAUGUAGUGACGUCAAGGACUAAAAAUCAAAUUAUGGACACAAGUCAUCAGAUUGUACAACACACACAAUAUGGAGAUGGUAAGGAUUGGCACAGGUCAGCACCUGCCAGUUCAAAUAAGUCAAAAAAAAAAAAGAAAAAGUUUACCAAGUAAUACUGGGCAGUACAAGGUUGGUACAAGGUGAUACAGGUCGGUUAGGGUAGUAUAGGUCGGACAACCUAAAAAUGUCAUAGAAGUCUAAUGUCCUAGAUAGUAGAACUUACAUCUGUUGAUACAGGUCGGUUAGUGUAAUACAGGUCGGACAACCUAAAAAUGUCAUGGAAGUCUAAUGUCCUAGAUAGUAGAACUUACGUCUUCGUAGUGAGCGCCUUCAUAUGCUAAUUUAUUAGAAAUUAGCUUUGUGCAAGUGAACUUUUAGUGCUCCAGCUGUUACUUACUACAAAUCAUGUUCCUGCAAUAUGUAUUAUGAAUCUUCAACAACUAUAUUUUUUGUUAAAUGAGAGCAUUACAAUGCGAAGGUAAGAACAGGUUUGCUUACCAAUCUUUAAACAAAAUAUGCAAUAUCUUUUCCAAUCCACAUAACAAUGACUUCAUCAUGAGAACUCCAAUGCUGUGAUCAUUCAAUCUACUGAGUACGCAUAUGUGCAGCAUAAGAGUCUCUUGCGGUAAAUAAUACCCUACUACCUAGCAGCUACGGUCAAUAUCCAUUUUCAAGGCCCUAUCUGAUGGCAGAGCAAGAGUACACUAGUAAGUUAAUCGGUAGGCCAUAACUGUGAAUGUUUUUCGAUAAGAACUCUCAUGUAACUGUUAGAUAUGCCCAGAAAUGCAGCUUGAAUGUGCUUGUCGGGUUUAUCCGAUGAUUUCAUUAGCAAUACCAAAAAAAUUUCAAGAAUAAAGCCCAACUGUACUGCAGUUAUGAGAGUUGGUGAUUGUUUUAUUUCUUUGCUUCUCAUGAACAAGAUGACAGCCUGUCUAUAACCGGCUCCCAGUAGUUAUCAUGGACCAGUCUGAUAUAGCAUGCACACAGUGCAACAAACAGCUUCACCAAGCCUAGAUAAACCCUCUCUCUCUCUCUCUCACACACACACAACAAAAAAAGAAAAGGUCCUACAAUGGAUUCCAACUGUUUUUUAUCUAACCUUCAAAUUGAAGUUCACUAAAUUUUGGAAACAUUGAUCAAAGCUUCUGAUUUAAAUUGGCAGCAGCAUAUAGGAGAAGAUUGUCAACCUUUGUGACACAUGAGUUUGCAUAACAAACAUCUUCCAGCAUUUUCACCAAAUUCUCCUUCUCAUCAUGUUCUUUUAUGAUUGCUACCAAAAAACAUGUUGCAUAAGAAAGGGGGACAUUAGGAGCACAUGUGGUGAUAUGCAAAGCAUUUUCAUCUUUCAUUACCCAUCAAAAAAAAACUGCAAACCCCCCAAGAUGAAGAAGAGCUUAAGUUACCGUUAAGAUGGAAUCAUGGAAGACAAGUUAUUUUCCUGACAAGGAGCUCAGCGUAGAACAUUCCUGGUGCCUAUCAGAUUGUAGGUCUAUUGGACAUGUUUUGGCUACAUACUACAGACAAGAGCAUAGAAAAUUUAGCUUGUCAUUCUAAUCUUGAUGAAUGUUAUCUUGUACACUCAGAGGAUUUGUUUCAGAUCACUGGAGUGCCAGAUGCAUGUAUUUAUGAGUCUAAAAAGAUUGCUACUUAUAAGAUAUUAUUGAAAAUGAAAACUUAUGAUUUCUAAGUACACGAAUGGAAAUGUGAUGUAGGCUUUCAUCUAUAACAGUAGUCCUAAGUAGAUUUCCAGUCUGAAUCAACAACUUCUGUAUUUGAAUUGUUGACAAUCUGCUAUCCAGAUGAACUUUCAAUAACAUAUAGAAUCUAUCUAAUUUGUUGUAAAUGUAAUCCCUUGUUUCUCAUUUCUUUUUUCUUUGAAAUUUCUCUAUUCUAUACUUCUUGCAUGCCCCUUAGUUUCCUACUGCUUCAGAAGAGUAAGAUGUUAUGGCAACAAAAAGAACACCAAGGAUGAAACUGGACUUUCACCAAAUGAGUAACAAUAGUUUUAACUGCGACCAAUAUUAUAUACUAACAUACUCUCCAACAUCAGUGAAUGUGUAACAACAUUGGAAACAAUAGAAAGAAAAAGACGGUUCAAAUCAUGUUGUCACCAAUGCCAACAAUAAAAUCACAUCGCAAAUCACAAAAAUAACAACCCCAAUCUAUUUGGAAAUCACUAGAAGAUUAGUGCAAGUUGUAAUAGUACUAAAAUAAUAAUAUCCUAGGACAUUCUUGCAGGACUUCAGUUCUUGUGCUCCGUUUGACUACUAGCUAAAGAAAAAUCUUCUUACAAGGCAUAGCAGAUCACUUUCUCAGUCAAAUAAAUUAUGGUUAGGUUACACCACAUAAAGUUUUUAUUCAUUAUCAAAAGUAUUUAAACCAGACAUCCAGAUAGAACAGUAGAAUUGGGGGCUGACUUGCUACUGCAAUGUUCCUAAACUUGUAAAAAGAUGAAUUAUGAAAUCUCUCUAAACAUCACGCUUCCUUCAGUUGAAUUUUGAUUUAGUGGGGUAUCCAAUAAUUCUAGCUAGAUUUAGUUGAUUUCAGGUGUUAAAUAGUGGCUAGCUAUGGGCUAUUACUGUAACACGUAUUCAGCAGGAUCCAGAAAAUGUUGCAGGUUUAGCAAUGUGACUUUGAAGGUAUAAGGUAGUUUUUUGGACUAACCUUUGCCAUUUGUCACUCAAGAAGCAUAUCAAAUUCGCAAGAUAAUCAAUCAAAUUACAAAUUUCUGUGCAGUCAACCCAAAUUAAAAAGUUCCAGAUCUAAAAUCAAAAAUGAUAAAUGGUACAUACCUCAGGAACCUCGUCAUGGGGGCAGUGACCUGCCGGGCUAAUCUCAUAAUAUGGUACUUCUGGCAAUUGUUUUUUCACUUUAAGGCCCCAAACAGGCCUAACCCAGGGGUCUUCUUUGCCAUACAUGAGACAGAUGGGAAUGUCUUGCAUUUGGCACCUACAUUCAGAAGAAAAAAUUAGAGACAAAACAGUAAGCAACUUGUGUAUGUUAAGGGCAUAAAGGUUACAAGCUUUGAACAAUUCUUCUGCAUGGAUAUGGAAGAUUUUGACUUGCAUCUAAUAGUUUGGUUCCACUGAUACCUCGACAAGGCCUCCUGGAAGGAUAGCUGUCCCUUGGGAGCAAACAUUAUUGAGGCAAAUGAUGCAGCUGCUGCAGGAUGUUGUGUUGUUUCAACUAUGCGAGAGAAGACUUUGUCGACCUUUGUAGAACGGUCAACGUAAACUUGCUUUAUUAGCUCCAGUAUGCUACUGGGUUCACUUAUCUUCUGCCAUCUAAAUCAUAGAAAAGACCAUCUCACCUCAUUCUUAUUUAAAUAUAAAAAGAAUGGAAAUAUUUAAGCUUAUAAGUUCUCCUAUGUAUAUGACUUGAUGAUUAGAAAACAUCAAAUAAAAGCAUAGAAAAUGAAUUUUGCUUUUACCCUAAACUGACAGUAAUCAUAUUUGUAAGAUUGCAAAAGUUGCAAAAUAUUUGGGUUUCCACCGGAGUCCAGAAAAAUAUAGACCCAAAAUGGUGUGCUGAUCCAAUGGUUGGAUAUGGAUCUAUUAUCAAACCAUCCAUGGAAUCAGGAACGAUGUCAAGAUGACCCACUUGGGGCCCAGAUAGCUGGAGUACACCAAAUGGUUCCUCUAAUUGACUUGACCAACUUAAUCCAUACUACAAAUGAUUGAGACCAUUUUCCAGAAUUGUUUCUUAAGCAAGUCAGGCAGGAAAAAAAAUCCCUGGUCAAACCUGAGUCAUUAGAGAACCCAGAGCAUAAUAAAUUGUUCAAAAAAUUUAUGUUAUAUACUUCAUUAGAAAAUUAUUCUAAUAUGGAACUGACCACAACCAUCUGUGGAGAAAUCAACUCAUGUUGAUACAUACAUAUGCAGAAAAAACAGAAACUUGCAAUGAUUUGCAGUCAUAAAAUGAUGAAAAGAUCAUAGUAAGUUACUAAUACCUACACGAACUCAGUGAGCUUUCUCACACUUGAAGGUAGAGGAAAUGUCCCAGCCCAUGGAAACAAUUUGGACAGCCUAGGUGAUCUAGUGGGGUUAGGGAGGAAUCCCCAAAAUGGUGUUGCAUUGAGCAAUGUAACUCCUCUUACUAGCUCUGGGUUGUUUGCUGCAAAGUACAUAGCAACAAAGCCUCCUAGAGAGUUCCCAACAACAUAAACUGGUUCACCAAUAACCUGUAAAAUGAUAUCAAAUAUAAAGCUUGAUUUCAACCAUGAAGUCGAUUAACUACAUAUAUGAGUGAUACAGAAUCAGUUAUAAGUGGCUUCAAGUCCGUGUUAUUGCACGUUUAAUAUCAGUAUGCAACUCCACUAACCAGACAUGUAAGGACCAAAGAUAAUGAGUUCAGUGGUACAGUAUAGAGCUUUCAUGAUGGCGAAAUUGGUUACUUUGCAAACUAGGUAUUUGCGGACGUGAAGAUAUAAAAGGUUAAAUAAAUAUUCUAAAAAAAAGUUCUUGAAUUUUCUAAUAUUAGCUCUUAAUUAAUGGAGGAAUGAGAGCUAGCAAGUUAAGUAACAAUUCCUUAUGCAUUUAUCGAGAAAAGUUAAAGAUCAUCUGGCACGAUCUAGCUAAGAGCUUUUUUAACUAAAGAAAAGACCCUCAAAAUAGUUUGUUCUAAGUAAGUUAAAUAAAAAAUUUAGAACCUGCAUAAAUAGAGAGUCUAGCAAGUAUACCUGUUCAAUGAAAUGCUUAACUUGGUCUUGCCAAAGAUCAACAGAGUAGACUAGGUUUUGCGCCCAAGGCUUGGAAGCCUCUCCAAAACCCCACACUGCAUUGCUCUCUUCAGAAUUCUCUCUUGGCUUGUCAGAAGGAGCUGGAUCUUCGGUCGGCAAUGACAGGCCUUGUCCUAGGAAAUCCAAUGCCCACACUCUAUAAUCACGGCCCAGAUCUCUCAACUGCUUCUCAUAGUGAAAAGACCCAACCCCAAAACCAGGAAGAAAGAGCACGUUUGGCGCAUUAACAUUCUCCAACCCAGAUUUCUCAUAAUGCACCGAUAAUUUUGGCUUCCAUUCCCAAAAACAACUACUGAUUGGAGAACCAGGAUUGCCCUCAGAUUCAUCAGGUAAACUUGGAAUUAAAACCUUCUUGACCUCGUCGACCUUCCUGGGAAUGUCCCUCAGACCAACUUUUCCAUCCGUCACAUAAUAAUUAUAAGUUUCAGUUGUAUUCUCAGCAACGGCACAAUUCCGGAGGCCUUCGAGCAGACUUAACAAUCUAGUCUCUUCUUUUUGAUAGAGAUUCUCAACCUUAUUACUGUCCUUGUGAGAACUCCCUAAACCCCAAGAGCGUUUGGUUGCAACACAGAAAAUUCCAGUUUUUCUAUGGGGAAAGAGCUUGGAAUUCUUCAAACUUCGGCUAUUAUCUACAACUUUCCAGUUCAGAGUAGCAGAGUGAUGGCACGGCACAGAGGUGCAGCUAAUAGAAAGCAAUUCCAUCUCUCGAAGGCUACUUGCCCUGCCAGAAUCAACUUACCCUUUCAACCAACAAGGACCCAAACUCAUAUUAAACUAAGAUGAUUAAACUGGCAAAUAGAAUCAAAGAACUAUGUGCCGCAAAUAGGAUCUUAAAAUUUACAGAAAAGGCAAGUUAGUCGUAUGAAUCCACUAAGCCCGAAACAAUACAAACAAAUCUAAAGCCUCAGAAGAAUAAAAUAUAUGCCCGAUUCUUGAGUAAUAGUAACACGGCUCCUUGGAAUUCUAAUUAGAACUUUAGAAUACAAGAAAAAGAUAAGAACUUGUUGGAAAAAAACGGAUUUUGAGCAUGUCGUCCAAAAAAAAAAGGAAAAAAAAGAAAAACACGAACUUUUUUUCCUUAAACAACCACUAGGUAGUAAGAAAUUAUUUUGGAACGAAUUUAAAAGAGGGUUUCAGUUAUACCUCUAGUUCUUAGGUCGACGGAUCGAUCAAACUCGAUUUAUUCGUUAAUCUUCUUCUCCUCCUUCUAAAGUUUCCACCUUCGCUUCCAAAGAAAGAGGGAAAAGCCACCCCCGAGGGGACAAGAGCAGCUCGGAGAAUUUAAAGAGAAUAAAAAAAAAGAAAAACAUAUACAAAACAUGAUGGAACGUUGUGGAGAGCGAGGAAGCGGCUAGAGAGAUAGAGAGAGGUGUAGUUUCAGUGGGACCCACAUGUCAGAGGCUUCUGAUUUGUCUGAUAGUAUGUUUGCUGUUUUAACCAUUACAUGCGGCUGAGAACAGGUGGGGCAGUUUUAAUCGUGCACGUUGCGUGCAGCCAAGACAACGGGAGGAGGGAGAUUUCUUUGCGUGCACCCGCGAGCGGUUGAUUUUUUCCCGCGCCCAUUUGUCUGUUUGCGAACAGGCUUUGGCGGAAUGGUCGGCCAGGGACUGGGCCCGGCUCUGUAAUAUUUAAAUUAAAUACUCAACCGAAUCUUAGCGUCCACAUUUCUCUAGCUAUUGGGUCGUAGGUUCCUAAAAAAAUUGGAUCUGGAUAAUUAGCAUCUGGAGUUAUUUUUUUGGAUUUUUUUUGCAUAAAUAUUUUUUUAAAAAAUUUAAAUUUAUGUGAAUACUCUCUUAAAAUUUAUAUUUAUUUUUGUAAUCUUAUAAAAUAUUGUUUUUUAUACAAAUAUCCCUAAUAUAACGAUUCUUCUAAUACCGUUAAUAAAAAAUAUUUAUUUUAUUAAAAAUAAAUAGAACUUUAAAAUUACUUUUGUUUUCCAUCAUGAUCGCCUUAUAAAUAUUUUUUUUUUUUGCAUAUCUACUCAUUAAAAAUAUUUUAAUCAUUUUAAUUUGAAAUCGUUAAUUUUUUAACGACGUUGGAUGGUGUGAAUACAUAUGCAAAAACAAGAAUAAAAAAAAUAGAAUAGUAAAACAAGUAUUUUAUAAGGGUAUAUAUGCAAAUAUCAAUUUCGGAAGGAUAUUCAUGCAAAAUUAGAGAUUAGGUGGGUAUUCAUGCCAAAAAAAAAAAUUCUUUACUAAAAAAAAUUUAUUUGAAUAAGAGCAAUGUAAACCAUACUGUUCAAAAUCUUAGUAUUUAUUUUUAUUUUCUAGAAAAAGUUAGACUUCACUGCUCCAUUUUAUGCAAAACAUUUAAUUAGUGUUUUCGGAGGUGAGUAGGCUUAUAUUAGGUGAGUUUAAUUAUUUGGAUAGUUAUUUGAAAGUAAUAUUAAUAUUUGGUAAAUUUAGUUUGAAUAGCAUCUUUUUUUUUCAAAUAAAUACAGUUAUCUCAAAUAAUAAUUGUGGUUUUGCUGUUAUGCUAUUUUGAUGCCAUCUAAGGAUAAAAAUGUUGUUAGAAUAUUGUAUGAGUAUAAUACAUAAAAAGAUGGUUUUUCUAGAAAUUGACAAGUUCGUUCAUCCAAUAUUAGUGUACAAUAAUAUAUUGAAAAUAAUGCUAACAUAUAAACAAGAAAAAAUGAAUAAUAUUGAUAUACUAAUAUUUAUAUAUAUUGAAGGAAGAAAAGAUCAAGCAUGAAAAAUGAUUACAUUAAUUAAUCUUUUAUUUAAGAAAAAAAGAGGAAAACCUGCAACUUUUGGUUGCUAACCAGGGCAGUAUGACAACUAGGGCACAGGGCCUGUUAUCAGAUUAGGUUUAAUCAAGAUUAUAAUAAACUUAUAUCUAGAUCUACUAACAUUUUGGGUCUAAAUUUUGUUUCAGACCAAACCAUUGAAGGAUCAAGUCAUGUCAGGAUUCAAGUAAUAAAAUAUCACAAGAUCAUUCAUGUCUUUGGCUUGGGUUUGAGUAUGUCAAGAUAAGUAGGAAUGCAAGCCAAGAACGCACUACCCUGUGGUAUCUUGAUAUUGAACCAUAUCAUACCAAAUUCAGUGACGAUUGGCUUUAUUAGAGAUAGGUCAGCUAUCAUCAAGAAGGAGAGAGAUACUAUGGAGGCAUCGAGAAUUAUGUUGGAGCAAGACCGACAAGAAUCCUUGGAUGACCUCCGAACCUAUCCAAUUCUUGAAAGAGGAAGUACACUAGGUGAAACUUGACUCAGAAGUGUCUGAUAUGGAUAACUUUUAUAAAAAUUGGGCAAUACUAAGUUAAGUCGUAGUACUAGAUAUAGAUAUAUACACAUUAACCAAAAGAUAUUUUUAUCUUGGUUAGCACAGAUUUAAUAUGAAGCUCAAAUGACUUUCAUGUUCAUCAUCGAGUUAUCCCACAAUACACCUUGAAUCACCUUAAUAAGAGCUCAAAUAAAGAAGUUAUGGUCAUUUUACAAGAGACCUAUCAUGAUUGCUGAUACAUUUUAAGACAAUUAUAAGAAUAUCAUAGCACAAUAUAUUAUUUUAGCGAUGAAUUUUCUAAUAUUUAUAGUCAAAUUUUUAUGUCUUUCUUCUAUAAAUACUUGUUAGAGUCCUAGUUAAUGCUCUUAAGGUAAGAUUUAGCCGUAGAAACUUUGCUUCACAAGUUCGUCGAGUUUGAAUUGAGUUUUGAGAAAUCCUAACUUUUAUUUAGUAUAAAGCCCUGGAAUCUACAAAUACCCCCUUUAUAUACGCAGUUUCAUACAACCAAUGAAAUCUUUUCUCUCUUGAGUACAUGUUAAAUUAUAGUUGCUCCAUUUUUUCUUUUUUGUUUUGUGUCGUGGAUCUUGCACAAGCUCAAGUGGAUUCUAGGGAGUAACAAUAUAGCUAGUUGGAGUCCCUCGAGCCUCCAAGGUAUUAGCUGGUAGAAUCAUUGGUAAUAAAGAGGCCCUUUAGUAGUGAUACUAUAAAGCAACUAGUUAUCCUUAACUUAGGCAUCUCAUAUCUAGUUUAGAUUUUGAAAUUUUAUUUUCUUUCUUUUAAUCCUAAAUAUCUAUAUCUUCUGGUCUAGUUAGAACUAUUUUGGUUUUGCCAAUCAUCCGCUAAGGUGCCGCUUAGCGGUGCCGCCCUAACACUGCUUGCGUUAGUAUGGUAUUAGAGUAAGUUCUUUCAUAGUCAAAACUUGUGAUGCAUGCGUGCUACGCUUAAAAUUUGAGUCUCAAAUAGUUUACAAUUUACUAUUCUUAUUUGAUUAAUAAAUUCUUUUAACUUUAGCCUCUUUCGAAUUCCUAGCUAUUUCAAAUUUCUUCUAUUUUCAAAAUACAAAUCGUAUUCAAACUCCUAAGUAUUAAAGUAUAAUUGUUAUUUUCUUUUAUAUUUGAGUAAGUUGCAAGUGCCUUAGAACCCUAUGUCAUAUUCGAAGUAGAGAAUAGCCGAGCUUGAGCACCCCAUGGUCUCAUAUUUACACAAUCUAUGAAAGCUUUUCUCUCUUCAUUACAUAUUAACUCGUGAUUGCUCUUUUUUUUUUUAACUAGGUGAAUUCUAUGCAAGCCUUGAUAGAGCUUGUAGAGUCCUAUGGAACUUCUCGAAGAUGUCAGUUGAUAGAGCCCUUGGCAAGUUGGCAGUAGUAGGAUGAGAAAGUUACUAGUUGUUCUUAGUUAGGCAUCUUAUAUUCAAUGCUAGUUUAGAUUUUAAAAUCUUAUUUGCAUUGAAAAGUUUACAAAUGAAAUACUAAUUUACAUGCUCCUCCAAAAGAUUAAAUCAUCAACAAUAACCACUUUAUAGUUAACCAUCUAAAAAUAAUAAUUAAAUUGAAAAAAAUAUGCUUAAUUUAAGUCAAAUCAAAUAUCCAAAUAUGUUCUAAAUAUGUGAUUAUUUUUAAAAUCAAAGAGGUGUGGGUGGAGUCUGAGAGCAGGGUGGGAGUCGGCAGCUGGGGAGAGGAGACGAGGAGGAAUGUAAAGAAAAGGGAAGGUGGAGUUAGAGGGAGUUGGGAGGGGAGGGACGAGGAGGAGGGGAGGGGUUUGGGUAGGAGGAAGAUGGUGGACAAAAGCCUUUCAUUUCCAAUUCUUUAUUCCACAUCAUUUCCAUCUCAUUAUUGUUAUUUUACAUGCCAUUUCCACGGAGGCACUUUAAUAGCAAAAUGAGAUGCCAGUUGAUGGCAAGCUAAUAUUGCAACACUUUAUAAAGUACCCAUACUCAAUUGCAAAAAUUGAAAAUUGAAACAGAUGCUUAAGUAUAGAAUUUUUUUCAGUAAUUAAGCCUUAUUUUUAUCAUAACCACUUUAAACAUCUAUAUAGUAAUUGUGUUAUAUCAAGUCAAACAUGAUACUUCAUUAAUAAAACACUUUGAACAUACAAUGUUUGUGUUAUUUUUAUUAUAACCGCUUUAAACACCCAUACGUUAAUUGUAUUAUUUUAAGUCACCGAUCGUAUUUUAUUAUAGGAUUUUGAAUAUGUAUGUAAGUAUGUUAUUCCUCUUGCUACUUUCAGUUUCUACGCCAAGGGAGGUGGAGGUUAAGUGGCGACGGUGGUGGCUGGCUUUGACAGAAACAAACUAGUUCUUUCUCCAGCAUCGUUACAUAUUUUUCAGCAUCAGAUGACAAGGGAUGAGAUGAGAUGCUACCAUUCACAGAAUCAAAGGCAUGCCUACAACUGCUUGUGUUACAACAUAAUCAUAUCGAUGCCAGGAACAAAAAAACAUAUGAAUAGAUGAAAAUAGUACUCGAACUACCAUAUACCAUCAAGAUUCAUUUUCUAUACAAGAAUCGUAGUCCGGAUGUUUUCAAAAAAAGGAACUAUGGAGACAUAGUGAGAUGAGGGGAAAUUAGUUGAACUCAAACAGAGCGAAGAAAUGGAAGAUCUGAAAUGAUAUGCGAAAGCGGUUUGCGCUCAUAAAGAGAAUUUGUCAGCAGUAAUCAUAAACUGGGCUUCUUCACAAGUUGUAAUCAAGGCAUGCAGCUCACCAGGAUCCAUAAAUAAACAUAAUAUGUUAUAUAUUUAAUGGGAUCUGACCAAGAAAGUAGAGCUUCUAUAUCCUUUAAAUCAUCAUUAGGUAUUAGUUCAGUCAGUUGAAGCUCCAAACUGUGCAAGUUAGUACAAGGACAAUGUGAAGUGUGACAUUGCAGAGCCAAGUUGCGGUAUCUUGUAAUUUAAGUGACAUGGAGUGUUAUAAAAAUGUGCAAGUGGCUUAGAUAUGCCUGUUGUUGUUUGUCAGCAGACAAGAUCUCUCAGAACUAAAGGGUUACCUAAUAUUCAAUCAGUCUAUUUAUCUUUUUUAACAGAAGAAACUAUUACUUCCAUCACAUUACAACUACACGGUCUGGCCUCAUUUCUCUGGUUAUAUCAAUGGCAUAUACAUACUUUUAUGCAUAUUUGAUUGGCAUUAUGGUAUUAAAUAUUCACAACAAAACAAAUAAAGUUAAAUUGUUUAUUCACUUUAGCACAUAUUACCUUUACAUAGUUUCCUCUUGCUACCUGAACAAAGAUAUAGCAGAUUGAUGUAACAAAAAAAAGAAAAAAAAAGAACAAAGAUACAGCAGAUUGACACUUCUAUCAUGAAGAGAAUCUGAUCAAUUUCUUUUGCCUGAAUUCAGUUUCCAUAUACAGAUAAUUUAAUGUUUUAUACAGACACAGGGUAACGGAUAUUCUUUAUAUAAUAGUAACCGUAUAGUUUGUGACAGUAUCAGAUCAAAUUAUUUUUGAUGGUACUAUUGAUUUAGAUAAAUUCACAGUCUUAGCUUGGUCUAGCAUACAUUCUAAUUUAUAUAACUUACCAGUGAGUAAAAUGCGAACAAUAAUAACUAUUUGCAUAGUAAUACUGAUUUGACAACAAAAAUUGUCAGAUUGGAUGUCUCCAAAUAUGAGGAACUGAACGAGAGCAGUCCUGGAAGUGUUCUUUUAUUACAAUUCAGGAUCUCAUACAUAUAGGGAACCCUGACAAUUGACUAAUUGACCAAUACCUCCCAAUGCUUAGGGGAAAUACAUCUUGAACAUUCCUAUAGAUAUAUAAUAAUCUUACAGUGAUAGCAAGAGCAAAUAUAAUUUCACUAUAGUCCAUGAGCAAUGCUAAAUCUUGGGCCACUUUUAUUGAGCAUGCUUAUAAGCUUGUAUCAAUUUUUACAGACAAAAAAACUAUUAUUGAAAAGAAUUAGAGCUGAUAUUUCCUUUUUCUUCCAUUCUUCUGUUCUAGUACUCUGCACUCUGUUGUUGAAAAGGUUGAGAGAUCAUGGUCACAAAUCCAGCCACGAAAUCGUUCAAUUCUUACCAAUAAGCCCACUUGUGAUGUCAAGAAUAAAUCUAACAUCCUCCAGUCUCUGUCUAUUACUACCAGAUCUUCCACAACAGAUUGCCGUAUAUUAGUACAAAUCUUUGGACAAAUCUUUAGUCGAUUUAUGGUAACAAAAAAAAGCUGUUUGUUGCCAAAUUAAUCCAAAUAUUCUGUGUUGCUUUGAAACAUCUUUUAAGCAGAGUUUGCAUGAUCACUUGCUUCUAGUUCAAUACCCACUCCCCCUCCUCGAGUGCUUUUAGCACUUAAUACCCAUGAAAGGGACUUUGCUUCAGUUCAAGGUGAUUCCUAGAACCUGGAACAGUAAAUUAACCUACACCACACACUAACCAUCUGGAAACCAAAAGAUAUUCUGUUUCCUUCCUUGCCUACCAGGAUAGAGCAGUAACACAAUUCUAAAUAAUGCUGGAGAAAAAAAAUUCUGAAGUAUUUAAUAGCUUGCUCCCAUGAUGACCUAAAUUAUUGCAUAAGACAAUAUAAUAACAUAAUUCUAAAAUAACGCUUGAGAAAGAAUUUCUAAAGUAUUUAAUAGCUUGCUCACAGGAUGACUUAAAUUAUUGUUUCAAGUUAAUAACCCCUUCAGCAACCUCCACGCCAUCUAGUUAAGCCAAGAGUGUGCCCUGAAAAGCAUUUGAAGAUUCUGCCAAACAAAUGACAUACAACCAUUGUAAACUCCAUGGUGUAAGUUACGUUCCCAGACAUCGCCUAACACUAGAGACUUCAACUAAAAAGCAUGUUAUUCUCUUCCAAAAGGGGGGAAAAUCUAUAGAAUUAGAUCCCAAUCUUGGAUUCUAUAUGACCUAUAAGUUGGAAAAGUUCUUCAAAGCAAAAUAUUGUAUUAUGUUAGAAGCAAUCAUCUUGGGACAUACAGGGAUGUCUUUUGCAAGCCAAAAUUAUGAACAGAGAUUUCUAGCUACAAAAGAGGAUUGCAUAAUAUAUAGCUCAGAUAUUAAACAGAUCCAAUAUUAUGUCUCAGUAUUUCCCCUGUAGUUGAUAAACAUAAUAGGGAUUUCCGCCACUUGAAAUGAAAAAUAAUAUCUCAUAUAGCCUCUAAGAUAAUAGAAAAUAUCAAUACAGUUCUAUAAGAUAUAACAAGUUGGCAAUUUAUAUUUGAAGAACUAAAAAGUCCAAAAAAGUUAAACAUAUGAUAAUACCACUGAACAACUCAGGCAAUCAGAAUUUCUAAAAAACAGAUUUUAUUACACGACUACCAUGUACAUCGAUCCCAAAAAAAGACAUUAGAUUAUUAUGUACAUAGAAAGCUUCCAAUUCACAUUACAGGCAGGAAGCAUGCGCCUUCUGUGGAACAUUAUUCUUAUAACAAGUCUGUCAUCAUUUCUUAUACUUAGUAUCGAAAAAUCUUCACUCCGGAUGCUAUUAACACCAGUGACAAAGCAGUUCAAAAGAUAGCUCAGAAAUUAUAUGAGAACCAAGGAAAUAACAAGAUGCUGAGGAGCUCAAACCUUGCAAGUUCAGCUAAGCAAUUCACUCAGAUUGGGAAGCAGAUGAUACCAAACUCCCCACAACACCCAUCGAAUUCACAGCUUCAGAAAUCUCCAAGUUCUGCCUGAUAUCCCCAUUUGGAUUGAUCUGACAAUCCACAACUGCAGGUCCGCAGCUCCCUUCCCAACCAGCCACCUCCCCAUUCCCACCAAAACAUCGUGCGGCAUUAUUGCACCUUAAAUCAACACCACUGCAUUGCUUCUGGAAAGGGAAGGUACCCAAUUCAGCAUCAAUCUUUGCUCGGAGAUCCACGAGAAGGCUUCUCAAUCUAACCACUUCAGCCUCAAGCGCUGCUUGCCCCUGCAAUCUCCUCAAGAGUUGCUGGUUCGCAUGGCGCAAUUUCUUAACCUCCUCCUCCAAAUAAGCUGCUUGGGCCUUCUUCUUUUCCCGAUACUUCCGAACAGCCUCUCUGUUCCCCAAUGGCUUCCGUGAUGUCUUCAGCUCUUCUUCUCCUCCCCUCUCUCCAUCAGUGGUGGCAAAAACCUGCAUAUGCGUGUGGUAGCAUGUAUGGGUAUGCAUGGCAGCUGCAGGUCCUGGAGGGUUACAGGUGUGGGUGUGGGUGCAUGUCCUACUGUUCCUCAAGUACUCGUCAAAGCUGUUAGUCAUCUCAGGGUUUGGCAACAGGAGGUGGCUUGAAAGGUCUACUUCUCCAUCAUCCAUCCUUACUGCAUAUGUUGCUUGAUUGAAAAGAAAACUAAAUUUAUCUUGGCAACUCUUUCCACUCUUUUUUUGAAGAAUUAUACCAAACAGUUGCCUUGCAAAUUUAAGUGAGCCCAGAACCCCCCCCAAAAAAACCCACCUUUUCUCAAACAGAGAUUCACCGUAUGAGAAAACUAUGAAAAUCCAAACGAAAUAUCUCCAUGAAACCACAAAUAUUAAAUCAAAGUGCAAACGAAAGAGUCUCGUAUCAAUCAAGAAGUCCCGCAAGACGAUCCCUUUCCUGUCAUUAUUAAUUCAUCCAAAUUAGAGGCCUAACUAAAACCCAGCUUCACAACUACAAAUACCAAAUUUAUGGAAUUCAGAACUAUAGAUUCAGAAACAAAUAGAUAGAAAAGUUGGUCCGACUCAACUCAACUCCAACUAGGCCUUAAUCCAAAAAUAGAUAGAAAGGUCUACUCACUAGGAUUAAAACAAACUGCAACCAGAGGAACAGAACCCUAAUUUCAUCACAGUAUUACUGGUUCCACAACAUCUAAACGAAAAUAAUGGAUCUGUGAGAUUGGAGAGAUAAUCAGAUGGGGAUUCUCCCUGAAGAGACGAAAUCAAGUAUCAAAAUGAGACCUUGGCGCAAAAAUUUAUCGACUGGCUCAGAAUAGGGGCACCAUCAAGAGCUUCCAAGUGGAGGGCAAUAUCACAGAGGAGACAAAAGAGUCAACUUUUUCUCCUCAUCUGUCUUUCUAUUGCUCUUAGGGAACAGAAUCUGUUAAAGAGGAGAUGAGAGGUGGAGGUCGGAGGCUUGAUUUGAUUGAAGUGGAAAAGGGAAAGGAGGAUUCGGAGGAGAUGAAGUUCCGCACCUGUCAAUACUAUAUUUGUAGCUUCUUAGGGAUAGAUUUCAAGCAAACAUGUCUGUACUAAAUCUAGUAUCAUUAGGUCGGAUUUUGUAAUUUAUAUUAUCGCUGUUUAGAUUGCAUACACGUCAAAGCUUUUGCAUCUAAUUCCCUUUCUAGCAUUAUGAAAGCGAUAAAAUGACCAACAUGCCCAAUGCCAAUUGCCAUGGACUAAGAGGUGGUGAAGGAUAAAAAGGUCAGUUUGCUUCUCUAAGUAUUGGGAUCAUCAAAAGGGCUAUACUAUAGUAGUAGCUCAGAAGGCUGACCCCGAAAAGUUGGCCAAUUUGCAGCUUUCCAUUGCUGCUUUUUUUUCCCCCCUCUUUUACAAAGUGUUUUGGUUGAGGAAGACCGAUGGUUGGAAUAGCAACAGUUACCCCCAUCGGAAGCUAUUGGAAAAUGCUUUCGAGUUGAGGUCAAAACCUGCAACCAAGAAAAGAUUUCUUUUUUUGAGAAGUGGAAACAAGAAAAAAAUUUAUGGCCAUGUAUCAUAUGUAAAAAUUCCAGAUUGAAACUAAUCCCCUUUGUAAAUAUUGACAGCAAUGGCGUUGCCAUGUCGACGGUGGAUGUGGAAAUGGCGGCGACGAUAGAAGGAGACGGUCGUAAAAAUAUGAGUUUAUUAUUUUUGAAAAUAGUGACAGAAUUUUUUAUAUUUUAUAGAAAGAAUUGUUAAAAAUAGAAAAUAAAGAUAAUAGCUCUAAAUAAAAUUUAAUUUUGUGAUUUAUUUUUUAAAAAUAAAGACUAAAAAUAAAUGAGCAAUACCAAACAAACCCUAACAUCAAGUUUUUAAUAAAGGUUUAAGUAUUCAAAUUAAUGGUGGACUAUUCAAAAUGCAAGUCUAAACUGUUAAAUAUGAUUUAGACAACCAAAAAAUCUACAAAUAAAAUUAUAAAAUGCUUUGGUGGUCAUGAAAUUGUAUAAAAUGGCUGCCAAAAAAAGAGAGUUUUUAAUUUAAUCUUAUACUUUGCUAGAUAAGUUUGUUCUUGUCUUAGUGAUGGCACCUCUUUUCUUUGCAACCAUAUAUUUUGGGUUCGAAUCUUAAUUCCCCAAGUAUUUGGACUUGGGUAAUUAAAGUAUGGGAUGGUCUCCUUGCUUUCUCUUAGAAAAUCUUUUACUUUGCUAGGAUCUACUAACAAAAUCUGCUGAUUUCAAAUUUAAUGUUUUUAGAACUAGUAGAUUAUAAUUAACAAAGUAUAUUUUUAGUUUUCAAUUAUAUACUUUAGUAAUUAAAUAACAUGAUUGGAGUAUAAAGAAAAGGCUUUGCAUUAAUUGUCAAAUUCAUUAACUAGAGUAGCAAAAUGAAAUCUUUUUUUGUUUUCUUUUUUUUUUCUUUGGAUGGAAAUGAGAUCUCGAUUGUUGAAUAUGAUCUAUAUAGUUUAAAAUGUUUACAGACAAAAAUAAUGCAUUUUGGAAAAUUCUUGCAUAAACAUCAAAAUUGUCCGAAAACAAAUUACACAUUAUAUAUGUUAGAAUGCACGAUCCUAGUCUUACAUCAAAGGAAUAUUAUGAUCAGUAUUUGUAUAAAAUAUUAUGAAUACUAUGAUUGGUACUUGUAUAAAAUGUUGUUUUUAGUUAUGUUGGUUGAGACAGAAUAAUAUUAACUUGAGAUAUCCAUGGAUACGAUAUUAGAAUGAAUGAAACUUCUAUUCUUUCCUUUUCUUUUCACAAGAAUUAUUAAAACUGAAAUAUUAGUCAUUUAGGUUGGUGAUAGAUGUCAAGAUGAACAAAGAUCUAGACUUAUAUGGGUAGAAAGACGUAGAAGUUAGAAAAGAAUAGACACAUAAAUAUUAAAACCAAUAUUAGUUACUAUUAUUUACUAAUUUUAAAUCAGUUAGUAAAAAGCUCAGUUAAGAUUGUAAAAGAAAGAAGAAAGGUCCGAACUAAUAUACUGAUCAAGUUUUAACUGAUACCAUGAGAUAUUUUGCUAAAAAAAAAAGGGUCAAAACUUUUAAUAUCUCAUUUUUAGUUUCUUAAACCAUUGAUUUCAAUUUUGAUACAAUAAUCAGAACAUCUUGGUUAUGUUCGUGACUCCUCAACCUAGAUGUGAAUCAUGGCGUUGAACCCACAUAGAAUCAAGAAAAAAUUAAAUUAAAAUUUUUUGUUUCAAAACACGUGGCACUGCCACUUUUUUUAAGACUUUAAAAGUAAAAAUAAAUUAAGUUUUAAAUUUUAAAAUUUAAACAUUUUUUUUUAAAGUUUUCGAAAAAAAAAUGCUCACAACGGUUGGCUGUACGUCGAUGGUUUAAAAUAAUUAUUCCUUUUAUUUUGUUCUUUUAUUUUGAAAAUAUCCAACAGUCAACAUCCAGAAAGAUGAUGUAGACCUGUCCAUGAUAGAAAUAUUCAACAUUCAGCACUAGGAUCAGAGCCCAGGAUGUCUGAAGACUUCGGAAGGGGCCCCAUGGUGACUUACUGUGCUCGUUGGACCAUUAACCGACCUCAUAGAGAUGGACGGUCCUUGCAUAAAUAUAAUGGCUUAAGGUCUACAAUAACCUCUAGGUAGUUUCCCUGGUGCUCAGAGGCUGGUUGACCAAAGCGCACUUUGCGAUGCAAAGUAUGUGCCUGUAUGACUCAGUGGAUAAAGGGCCAUUGGUCGGAAAUGAUGCAAAGGAAAAGAAUUCCAUGAUGAAUUUUUGCUUAAGAUCAAUUUUGAUCAUAGUGUGAAGAACAAAGGAGCAAAAGGAGGAGUAGCUUUUGUCAUUAGAGGCUUGGAAUUCAUCGGUGCACGUAGCUGCCACCUGUACGAUGUCUUAGUCCUUGGGGAAGAGUUGAGAGGAGCCUCGAAGGACUUGAGGUUUGCCAUGACAAUACUUCGGGACUCAUUCUAGAGGGAAAUUCAUUCCCUGUUAUUGGAUGGGUGUCUAAGCCGGAGACAUAUGGAGGAUGAUUAAAAAUUUUGACAGCUUCCAAACAGUCCAUGUUUACCGGAAAACGAACAACGCAACUGAUUAAGCAACUUCAUUUAGGGCAGAACACACAGAAAAUAUUGGAUGGGUGAUCAAGAGGACUAUUCUAGUGCAAUUACAGGGUUCUAUGUAUUCUGACAAUAUUGGAUGUAUCCAUACUAGAUUUGUAUGAGUUGUCCAUUCCAAUAACUUAAAAUAAAAUAUUGUCAAAUUUUCAGCAAUAUUUUAAAUAAAUAAUUCAAAUAAUUAUAUUUUUUUUAUCCAUUCGUUAGUCAUUUAUGACCCACUUACAUAAAAGCUAUCAGUAUAGCAAAAUAUAUUUAUAUAAAUUAAUAAAUUACUUUUAAAUAAAUUAUUAGAACAUAUAUUUUUUAUUAUAAAUAAAUUGUAAUAGUCUCAAUUUCUUGUUAAGUAAAUAUAUUUAAACACAAUGACACCAUUAAUUGAUUAGUUUGGAGGAAAUUAAAUUAUUAUAUAAGAAACAAAAAUUUGGAUUUAGCAUAUUUGUACAUUAAGAUAUGAAAAGAGUGGAAAUAUUUCCAUCAAGCAACAACGAUUUCCGAUUAUCUUCACUCAAUAAUUUAAUGUGGAAACAAAAAUACUAUCCUUCUAGUAAUAUUAAACUUCAUAGAAUCUAUCAUUUAUUUUACCAUUUUACCCAUCCUCUUUUCGUACCAAAUAUAAUAAUCUAAUAUAAAAUUUAUUUUUUUUUAAUUAGAUUAUCUUCAACCAAACGAACGUAUAGGAAUAAAUCACUUGGUUGGUUGGGGCAUGCUAAUGGUUUUUCUGUUCUAGUUAAGCUGUACAAUUUUCUUAUGCAUAGCGUCAAGUACUCCACCGAUGUGACAGUCAGAAAUUGAUAUGGUACAUAGGAAGAUCUUUGUGGACUGAGGAGGAGAGAAAAUUACCAGCUUAAUUUAUCAUUUUGGUAAAGAAAAAUUGCUAAAGAUUAUUAUCCAGAUCUCCACUCAAUUCACAGGUGAUUGGAUAAAUAAUAGAACAGAAAAACCAAACCCUUCAAAAUCUUGCACAUGCUAAAGAUUUAUGUAAGCUUAUUAUUAUGUCAACAUUAAUUGCAAACCAAACCCUUCAAAAUUUUGUACAUUUUCCAUUAUAUCAAUAUUUAUUAUUCAUCAGAGUCACAAAGUAGUAGAGUUUUAUAUUAAAGUUGCUACCUCAUCUAAAAUUUAUGUCUCUUCAUCAAUAUACUGCCGAUUCUUUUCUUUCUUGUAUUCUUAUGUGGUGUGAUUGCUCGCUGAGACUUGUAGCAUAGGGGUAGAAAGUGAAGCAACAGGCAAGUCAAGAUCACUAGCGCAAGCAUAAGCCUAUAAUAUGAUGGCCUAACAUUCGCACAAAGUUUUCGACGCCAUACACAAGUCCCAAGCAAGCCUUAAACAGGAUCUUACAGAAAUUAAUAAAACUAUAAAUUUAAAUAUUGAGUAAGAUAUCUAACGAUUCAAAAUCAAUUUGAAAGACCAAGGUAGGGUAACAACCUAGACCGGGCAAAUUUGCAGUGCAUUUGUUUCACACGAGACCUAAAAAUUUUACCGAACAUAACAACAUAAAAUCGAAGGGUGUACAAUGAAAUGUUUUCACAAGGCCUUGGCCGGAGAUUUCGAUGAAGAUCCUUCGAUGAUUAAAUUAGCCAAAUUUUUGGAGAGGUUUUUAAGUAUUUUGAAUUUCUUCUAAUGGCUUACCGAGGACCUUUUCCUAUCCUCUUUUUAUAGGAUGAGGAUCUCGGCCGUUACCUAAAGUCUCGGGCCGAUUUAUGAUCAACUAGCGGCAUGAAUCAUGGAAAUCCAUCUCGCGGGCGGAGGAUACGAGAGAUAUUUUUUCAGAUUUAUUCUGAAGAUCCAUCACGUCAUUCCAAGUGAAAGUGGUUGAGGGAGCUCUUCAAUGCGUUGCGGACACGUUCCCUCUUGAGGCGUUAUCUGAUGGUACGCGAGGAGCCAAUCAUCAAUGCCCCGCCCUCCGAGGCGGCCAUCAUCAUAAUGAUGGGCCUUUAACACCGCGAUCCAAAAAAAUCUGCUGAAGAAACUUCUAGAUCUCCCACGUGGCAUGAUCUAGCCGCUCGGCCAUCUGAGCAGGCCGAUCAGAGCGGUUGAGACAGGCUAUACAAGGCCUUGGGGAGGAACCAUUGCUUUUGUUCUGGGGAUCUACAGAAUCUUCAACAGGGUCAAGGUUGGCAGGACCGAGAUCAGCUCGGCCUUUGGCGAGGGCGAAGUUGCCCGGACUCUUAGCGGGACCGAGAUCUAGUCUACUCGGCUCUGAAUUCUGCUCGGCCGAAAUUAUGUAGCUCAAUGCUGGAGUAGGACGAUCCAUUUUGCCUCCUAUCACAUAUUAUUUUAGCUCAUGUGAAAUCACAAUUCAUGCAGUCCAAGCCUUAGUCUAUCUUGAAAGAAACUGUGCCUCUGGAAUAGCACGCAACAAUUUAACAGAAAAACAGAAAAGAUGGCUCUCAUUUCGUAUUUAUUUUGAUUAUAACAUAUUUUGAAUAAUAAUAUUUUAGCAUGAUUUUUUUUUAUAAAUGUUAUCUUCUCCAUCCCUUCUCACCUACAUCCAAGACGAGAGACAACCUUUUAACCGUCGCACAAAAGCAUCAAAGAACCAAAAAUAACAAAUUUGACAUUAUCAACUUGAAUCACACAACAAUGGUUGGUGGUCAACAUAGAAAUUCUGAUAGCCGAAACGGCGGAUUCACCAAAUACAUUAAAAUACCUCUCCAUAGCAUCAGCAUGGAAAGAGAGAUGUGAAUGGUUGCUACAGAAUAAUUCCUUCAAGAUCUAACAAGACAGUUUUGAACUUUGAAUGGUGCAUAUUUCAGUUCAGCCAAGAAAUCUUGAAUCAAAUGCGACCCUCUUGUUUGCAAAUCUAAUGCUUAAAAAUUCAAAGCUUGAGAUGCAUAAAUUAUCAGUGACAGAUAUUACUAAUAUCAGACUUUAAUAACUCAAGUAUUUCAUUUAGUGUCCAACAAAAGCUGCAAAAUUAUUUUUAUGAGGGACCAAUGAUGCAAAACACCACAAAAAUUCUAUUAAAACUAAAAUAUGACAAAUUAUUGCUAUCAAACUUCAAUAACUAAUAUUAGACUUAAACAAAUUAUCAUUAGCCCCCUCCACUUUUUGUCAUCCGGGCUGGGGACCGGCAUUGGCAGUGUUAAGCUAUAAAAAUAACGUACAUUAAAGACAUACAAAACUAUAGCACAUAAAUAAAUGUCCAGUAGCCAUAAAAAACAUUGAAACAGUACGCAUAAAAGCAGGAUGACGCCUAAGUCAAACGUUCUUUUCAACGUCUGUGAAAAACUACCCACUAUUAACCUACACUUUUAGAACUGGUAACACAAAGAAUGAUGCCAGAAAAAUCUGACGUGGACAAUAGAAGAAAAGCAACCAACAUCUUUUAUCUCUAAUAUAUAAAAACAAAUUGCGAGAUCCAGACAAAAUUCAGGUAAAUCCAACCAAAUAAUUCAUAAAUUGAAAAUAUGAUAAAACAGAACAUGAACGUUGCCUUAAAUUUUGUUGUAGUCCAACAUCCGCACCAAGCAUAUGAUAAAGCAGAACAUGAACGUUGGCUUAAAUUUUGUUGUAGUCCAACAUCCGUACCAAGCACAAAAUCGAAUUCAACAUCACAAAUUCAGACAGGCUCAAAUCACCGAAAGCAAGAUAUUGACCAUGACCAUGAAAGAAUGAAUUACUCAAUGAACGUCACACUCCAAUCAACAAUCCACAUCACCACAAAUAAGAGAGAGCUCUAUCAGGAGAAUCCUCACACCAUUUGUCUCACCUUUAUUAGUAGUGCAAUUGUGGUGAAAAAAAAACAUGCUCACAAACAGGAUCAGUUGUCACACUAUUUUCCAUAGAUGUACUGGCUCUCUACCAUGCAGUUGGACUCAGGAACACAUCAGCAAUAAAGACAAAAGAUGGAAAAGCAUAAGCCCAAGAAUGUACGCUAUAGCCCUAAACCCUUCAAAGCACAAUCCUCCUAAGUUUCAGGUCUGAAACCUAGCCCUAGUCCUCUUCCUCUCCACGUCUAAUAAGCAUAAACCCUAGCCUUCAGUUGAGAAAAAAGAGAGAUUCAGCCAUCAUCGGAAAAAAAUUCAGCAAUCCACCCCAACUGGAGUCAAGCUACAAAUCCACUUAUCGACACAGCAUCCAUAGAUUCCAUACCAUUCCCAAAGUGCUUCCAACACUCAGAACCUGUACUGCAUGGAGGCAACAAGAAAUAAUCUCAACCCAAUGGUGAAUCAGAAUGAAUCUCAUCAAUGAUACCCAAUCAUUUUUCUACAAACAUCAAUAGCCAACAGAUUACUAAAACCAUCAUGAAAAUCCUAACGCUCCAAUUCCUCCAUAUUGCCUUCACUUGUAAGAAUGUUCUGGUGAAGCAAAUAAGAGAAUUAGAACUAUAACCCAAACAGUGGCUGCAAUAUGAAAAAAAAAAAUCCCUUCUGCAUCCGUAAAAUUGUAUAUUUCAACACAAGCUCAUCUGCAACAGCAGUAAUAAGUUACCUUCCAAGUCUCAUUUGAACAGGUAUUGCAGCAAAAAUUUAUAAAAUGAAAUACACCAUCAAAGAUGAGGAAUCCCUCAUUGAAAAAAAAAAUCAAUUGCAUUUUUCCCUUCUGUCUUCAAUUACUAGAUAAAGAUACACGGAGCAAUAUUGUCCCUUGUAGCACCAACUAUUCUGAAAAACAAUAAAAAUGACAAAGUAAACUAUCACACGGACUUUAAUAAUGAAAAGAAUUAGAAUAACCAAUAGGAACUCCCCUACACAAGAAAAUGAUGUCAUGCUCCAUCCAAAGCAAUCAAGAUACUGGUCAGACAAAUAAGACCCACCAAGAAUAUAUAAGAUUUUGGAACAAGGAUGAAACUAAGAAACAACAAUAUAUCAUCCAAAAAUCCACUUAUCAACAUAGCAGCCAUAUGUUCCCCAAUAUGUUUUUGACUCCUAUAGUUGGUGUUGCAUGCAGAUAGAAGACAAAGCCAAAAGAUUGCCUGCCCUAUGGGACAUAAAAAUGACGCAGACCAAAGAUAAUCAAAUCCGUAAUCUAAGCAUAUCCACAGCCUACAGUAUAGCAAAACCAUGAACAUUCUCAAUAUUGAUAAUAAAACAAUUAAAAAAGUUAACAGUCCAUAAAAUGACAACUACAGUAAAUGAAUGGUGUACCUAGCGGACCCCCUUCCCUUCAUCCAAAAUGACAUGUAAAACCGUGACAGCACGUAUAGCAGAUUAUUAUUCUUUAACCCUUUCAUAUAACCCACUAUACUGGAGAGCAUACAGUUAGUACAAUAAUUCAACUAUAAAUAAGCAAUCAUCUCGAAUUGGGGCAUCUCGAACUGGUGAGAAACCAAGUCAAUUUGGCCUCUUGAUUGGCAAACCACUGUGAACCGGCACGAACAAAACCAAACAGAACCGUUUGGUUUUGCUCGAUUCGGAGUGGUUUAAGUCCAUUUGAGGCAACAUGCGACCAAAAAAGAGAGGAAAGGCCAUGAGAUACCAUUCUCCUCUCUAUUCUUCAAAAAUUGUGAAGGAAAGGUUGGUUCUGUGAGAACAAACCCUUAGGGCAAAUUCGUGACCUACAGCUGAACAGCACAAAGAAUAAAUUAAAAUACACACUUUCCCUUGAACAGCUAGUACAAGAGAAAUUGCAUAACUCCAGUAUCAAAGAUGAGAAACCCCCUUCAUAAAAAUCAUAUCAUUAUAUUCCAAUUCCUCCAAAUUGUCUUCCAUCAUCAGAUCAAGAUGCCCUUGAGCAAGAUUGUCAAAUGCCGCACAAGCUCUUCUGCAACAUCGGAAAUAACAUACUAAACAAGUACUCUAAUAAAAAAAACGUAGUAGAACAAGUUCUACAAUCAAGGUUGAGGAGCCCCCUCCAUGAAAAAUACAUAUCAGGCUCAAAUCCACCCAGACUUUCUUGAGCACUCAAGGUCCCCACUGUCCCACCGGUAUUUAAAACCUUGGUACUGGUCAAACAAAUCAGAGGAAGUCACAAGGUUACUGGAACCACAAACCACAGGAAUGAAUGAGAGGUUUAAUAAGACUUUGGAACAUAGAUAUGAAACUUAGUACAGCAUAUCAGCUGCAAAACAACUUAUCAACAUAGCAUCCAUCUUGUUCCCAACAGAAGUGAGUCUCCAUAUUGCCUUCCUGAUCAAAACAAUAUUCUGGUGAAGCAAAUAGAAAGAAAUAUUAAAAUAUCAACCCAAAGGAAUAAAACCAACUAGUGAAAAAAAAAGGGUAAUCAGGAACAUAAAGGUAUCAAACAAUAAGUACAACAUAAACAAGGACAAAACCUUCCAUAUGGGCAAAACUCUGUCUCACAGCACAAACUCAUCUGCAACAGAACAAAUAAUAAAUUUACUUUCAUGAUUCCACAUGAACAGCUACUGUAGGGAAAAGCUAGUACAACAAACUUUUCAUAUCAAGAUACCCAUAAGCAAGAUUAUCCCAUGAUGCCCAAGAUCUUCCGCAACAGCAGAAGUACAAACUGACCUAUCACAUGAACUCUAGGUGUAAGGAGAAAAAUUAAUAAAACCAAUUCUAAGUCUAGGUUGAGGAACUCCAUGAAUGAAAAAGCAUAUCAUACUCCAAUUCACCCAGACUACAUUAAGCAUUACUGGUCAAACAAAUGAGAGGAAAACAUCAAUGCAAUAGGAAUGAAUGAGAUUUUGGAACACAGAUGAAACUAAGAAACUUGAUACAGCAAAUCAGCUGCAAGUAUUUUAAUUAGCAACCUUGUCCAUCAACCUAGAUGUUCUCUUACAGCACAAGCUCUUCUGCAAUAACAGAAAUAAUUAACCAUAUAAACAACAUGGUUAGAGAAAAAUUAAUAAAACCAAAUAGUGAGGAAACCCUAUAGAUUGCCUUCACUGGUUCUAGUGAAACAAAUGUAAGAAUCAAUAAGCUAAUAACCCAAUACAUAUGAUUAACAGUAUGGAACAAAAAUGAAAUUAGAAUAAUGUGCACCAAAUAUUAACUCCUUUAUCCACUCUUGGAUUCAUUUUGUUUCCAACAUGCACCAUGUAGGACUCCCAUGAGACUAGGGCCUAAACCAUGAAAAUGAGACUGUUUACAAGUAACUGAGUCCAGAAUUUUACAGAAUUUGAACAAAUGUGCAUCGAGAAUUAAGUCCUGCAGCAGGACUCCUGCUGGAUUCAUUUUGUUUCCAAGACGCACCAGCACUACAAGGAGACAAACAUUAGGGCCUACAUGAAAAUGAAACUGGUUACAGGAAAAUUUUACAGAAUUUGCCUUGAUACCUAAGGAACAUAUUCUCUUAUUUCGUGUUGAACCAGCAUUGAUAAACAGUCAAUUAAGAAGACAGAAGUCAACAAACAAUAGUCACAAUAUAAAUAGUAAUGCAAAUUGCUUCCCAUAACAUAAGAUCUGCAAAAGCAACAAAUAUAACAGCUUAACCUUAUCACAUCAACAACAGCCCAAUUCCCCAUAUCUCAAAUGACCGAAUCAGGGUACUGGUGAAACGAACUGGAGAAAACAAUUAAACCACUAACCAAAAGGAAUUAUUGGCACCUUAAAACAAAUUUAACCCACAGAUACCUCAAUUACAUGUAAAAGCUACAAAAUCACUAAUUGACAGUGUCAUUCAAAACGCACCCAGGAUGUACUGUAACCUACAAUCUGUCAGAGACGAAAAGAUGACCAGAGAUAGCGUAUUAGAAGAUAAUAAAGCUCCUUAAAAACAAACCAAAUCAGAAUUCUCCGGUUUUGACCGAAUCCAAAACAUGAACUAACUAAUUAUAAAGCAGAUUCAACAAAAGGCAAUAAGGAAGACAAUGUUUCAUAAACAAUAGCCACAAAUAUAAAGAAUGGUUUAACUUAGUGGAUCCCUAGAUCCCUUAAGCAAGACUAUUUCAAACACUACAAGCCCUUCAACAGAGAUAAUAAAUUAAUGUUUCACAUUACUCCUCGCACACGUCAAAGAAUUAAAAUUUGCCAAACAGCUACAACAGAAAGUUCGGGUAAUCGCAUAAGCUGUUAAAAUGAGGGCAUGAUUAGAUGGAGGAAUAAUUCCACAAACCAACUGAAAUACAAACAUCCCUCAAAUACUAGAUAACAGUGAAAACAAGACGUAUAUGUGCUAUAAGAAAAGUGAUUAUAAAGAACCUUGAAGGAGUUACCAUAGAUUAAGAUUGGCAGUUGAUGAUGCUAUUAAACAUAUACCAAGUAUGGCAUCUCCACAAGAGGAAAUCUGAUAGCAAAAACAACAGAUGUGAUGGGCCUUAUGGUGGACAAAAUUGAUGAAAUGUUGAGUAACAGGUGAACUACAACCAAAAAUUGAGAUCUUACUACUCCCAAAGCUAUCAACUGGAAGAAGCAAGGUCAACAGACUAUAAGAUCAACCUGCAAACCACUACCAUUAGCUCGUUAUGAACAUGGUCAUGACUAGAUGCAACGAAUUUGCAAUUAAAAAAAGAAAUAAAAAUUCGCAAACUUUCUAUUUACCACACAAGCAAAUAUAGGGACAAGUAUACAACCAAGACUUUCGGAGAACCAACCAAAAAGCCAAGAGCUGGUUAUCUCAGACAGAACCCUAAUCAUUGAAUAACAGCUAACAAUUAGGAUAAAGGAGGAAGGAAAUGAUAUCUAAAGGAAGAAAUAACCCUGAUUUUCUGGCCCUCAGCAAUUGAAAAGCUCAAGCUCUUGCAAAUACGACAAAAAAAACACAAUAAUAAUUCACAUCUAGCCCAUGGAAUAUGAAUAAUUUCAAGUACCAAAGUAGUCGCUCUGUCAGCAAAUCAUCUCUGCUUUUUGCUCUAAGCAGUCGACCGGUAGACUGAGUAGCAACAAGAAUGGUGAAAGAGAUGGUAGAUGAGUCCCAUAUAAUACAUAAUCAGAACCUGAAAUACCUUGCAUCUCUGGAGCCAUCCAACAACUCCAACCCGUUGAACAUGAUGUUCAUUAUAUCCUUACAAAUACUACAGCAAACCAAUAUUGAACAUGAUGAUUAGAGUACUUGAGAAACCCAAUAUUGAAUUCCAACCUCUGCAUCAUAUUUCAUGAAUCCAUCAUUAAGUAAUCCCUUGAUACUGGCAAAACGAGGUAAAUUGAGCAGUAUAACCUGAAGUAACAACGGAAUAAUGAGCAGAGGAAAUAUAUCCUAAGAAGCCACAGAAGAUGACUAAAGAUCAGAAGAAACUAUUAUGUCCCCACAGUGCUUGCCAACAGUAUAUGAUAGCUCUGAUCAGGUAGUGCAAUUUGUUGCCACAACAAAUCCUACCGCAACCAAAUAGAAGGAUUUCAACAAACACAAGAAGUGGAAAAAAUCAUCUCACUGAUCACAUAUUGCUUCUCUGAAUCAAACCAAUUGAUCAAAUCUCAUUAUCUGAACAAAAUGAAAAUAAUCAAAGGAAAAGAAACCCCCUUCAAAACAAAACCAAUGUGGACACCUGCUUUAACAUCAUCUCUUUGAGUUGAAUUACAUGGAAAACAAGGGCAGCCUUCUCAAAAAUUGGAACCUAGAGAAACCAUCAAGAAUCAAAAACCAUGAUUAGAUUAAGCAUCAAAAUUAGAAAUCACUGUCACACUGCACAAUAAAAUUGUCAUCAUGUUUCAAACCAACUAAUCAAACCACCAUGUAAUAAAGAAACCCCCUUCACAAGAACUUCCGGCCUCUAAAUCAUGCCUCUUAUGUCCAACAUCAGAAUAUGGAAACCAAAAUAACACCGACUUAGAAUCAGGAACAUUCUCCGAAACAUAGAAACUGCUUCCAUGAUGAUUUCACACUGAAAAUAUUAUUAAAACAAAUACUGAAAACUCGUAACCCCAGCACCAGUGCUUCAACCGAAUGCAAGAAAAUCAUGAAGUAAAUCUGAACUCGGACUGUCAGAUUGGCGAUACUCAAAAAUCCAAUCAGAAUACACCACAGCUGAUUCCGGCAGAUUAACGAUGGAGCACCCCCAAUACCAGAAGAAAGAAACCUGAACCACUUGGAUUCUUUUUUAGGAAAAAAAGGAAACUAAACCACAAGAGACCAGAUUCAAUCGUCAAAUCCUCAAACAAGAACAAACAGCUCAAAAUUCUGCGAACCCUAAAAACCAAGUCGCAAAAAAUUCCUUAAUUACUGCAAAUCUUUAACUUAAAUUCAUCCUCUGAAUCAUGCCUAUCUUGUCCAACACCGUAAGAUGGAAUCUAUAGGUAACAUUGAAUUGGCAUCAGGAACAUCUCUUUUGAGACAUCCAGAAACCACUAAUCAGGCUGCAAAAUAAUGCUUGUGUGAUGCUUUCAAACUGAAAAUAGAAUUAUUAAAAUGAAUACCAAAAACUGUAAUACUGGCAGCAGGAAAAUCAUAAGCAAGUCUGAACUCAUACUGUCGGAUUGGAAAUAUUCAAAAGCGAUUAAUACCAUUCCCUGCCAUCCUCCCUCUAUAAAACCUGCUAAGCUCAAGAUUUGCAGGAAAAUCAUACCGGUAGAUUAACAAAAGAGCACUCCCAGAUCCAAACCAAAAAAAAAAACUCAAUUCACUGGAAUUCUUUUCAAAAAGAAAAAAGUCACAUGAAACCAGAUUCAAUUGCCAAGUCAAAAAGACUACUGCAAAUCUUCAAGAAACUCACUACCUUAUUAAAUGCAAAUCUUCUAGAAAUCUACAUCCACUUGCAAGCAACAAUAGAGUAAAACCAUCAAUAAUCUUGAUACUGAUAAUGAAAUUAAGAAGCCAACAGACUGUAAAUAAUUAAAAUAUAAUGAAAUCGCAUAAGCCAGUGAGCACCUUCCAUUCAUCGGCUGAAAUGUCACCUAUAGUACUACCGCCAUCAUCCACAGUUGCUUCAUCCCUUGGAUUCCCCCAUGGUGCCUUCACUGAUCAAAUCAAAUUUCUGGUGAAGCAAAAGAGAGAAAUACUGACCCAUAUCAAAAGUAACUCACUCACUCAGCAAUAGCAGCUAAAAUGUAAAAGCUACUAAGUCACUCAGCAGUAGCAGAAUAUAUAUCAAUUCCCAUACACACCAAUGCAUGAAAAAUCACUGCUUUACUUGGAUUGCUCCAUUCUGCCUUCACUGAUCAAGUCACAGUUCUGGUAAGGCAAAUGGCAGGAUUGCCAAAGAUAACAAAAUAUUUAAGUAAUUGGAACAAGUAUGAAAAAAACAGGCCCAGAUUAAGGGUAGCAGCUACUAUUAUAUCGGUUCUAAGACACACCAUAGCCUACAAAAUAUAGUAUCAUGAUUAUCAAGACAAGCAAUAUAGUGCAAAUCCAACAGGAAGAAAAUGAAGCCCAUUACAAAUCUUAAUCCAGCAUUUUCCAAAAUAUACCAAAGGACCAGAUACAUUAAGAGAACACAAGCUAAUAAUGGAAAAAAGGCGAUUAUUAGGUACACAAAUGCACAUAAACAAUGACUAGGAUUUAAAGGACAAACUCUGCUCUUCGCCUUGGAAAAAUUGCAUGCUGCAACAUAAGCACAAAUCAAUCUUCCAUGUGAAUAGUUUGUGUAGGAAAAAAAAUAAUCGCAAACUCCCAAAACGAACCCCCUUAAUAUAAAAUAGCAACAUUACACUCCAGUCUUUCAUAUAGUCUUCAAGAUCAAGAUACCCUGAGAAUGAUUGUUUCCCUGUUGCACAAGCUUUUCUGCAACAACAGAAAUAACAAGUUAUCUUAUCACACAAACUCUGUAAUACUGGCAGCAGGAAAAUCAUAAGCAAGUCUGAACUCAUACUGUCGGAUUGGAAAUAUUCAAAAGCGAUUAAGUAUCAGGGAAAAUGACUAUAACUGAUUCUACAAUCAAGGCUGAGGACAACACCAGUGAAAAAGGUCAUAUCAUACUCCAAUUUGUGCGUACAUCCUAUAACGAUCAAGAAGCGGGUCAAUGAAAUGAGAGAUGAUCACCAGGUUACUAGAUCAAUAAGAAUGAGUGAUAUUCUUGAACCAAGAGAUAUCAGCUACAAAGCCACUUAACAAAAUAGCCUCCAUAUCAUAUGCUUUCGCACCUAAAGAACUGGCACUGCAUGAAGAUGAACACGAGCUAGAAAAUAGCUUCAACCCUAUGAAAUAAAAAAAAGGAUCAUCAAAGAUAACCAAAUCCAGAAUCUACUUACCUCCAUAGCCUAUAGUAUACAAAAACCAUCAAUAAUCCCAUUAUCUAUUUUACUAUAUAACACCAACUCCCUUAAUAUCUCAAUGCAUGAGGUGUGUCAGACCAUCAAUGUUUCCCCACCCAUGUUCCAUGUUUGCGUUUUCCCUUCAGUGCGGCUGUUACCAACAAGAUCAAAAAGUCCGAGUCCUUCCUCAUCAAAAAAUAAUGUGCAUCCCAUAUGCCGCAUCCUUGAUAAACAAGCAAUCAAGAAAGCAGGUCAGUUUCAUCAGGUUAUUUCCAGUCUAGUCUAGAAUCAACACCAAACGAAGCUUCAUCUUAACAACUACGUACACCGUAACUAAUGGGUAGCCCUUACCGUCUUUCUACAAUCUCCGAUUGGAAAUCCCUCAUUACAUUAGAACUGCACCUCAACAGCGAAAGACUUAUGUCNNNNNNNNNNNNNNNNNNNNNNNNNNNNNNNNNNNNNNNNNNNNNNNNAACCAGCUCACUAACGUCGCCACUUCAGACAAGGAAUUUGGUUUGACAUCUUCCUAGUUUACUCGGCUGAACGAACAGGUCUAAAUGGGUGGUAAGCCCGAAAUGUCACCCAAAAUAGAAUCCAUUCUGUGAUGGAAAUAAUAAUAAAUUAUUCUUCAACUCUGUAAUGUAACACUGUAGAUAGAGAGAGAAACAUAGCACAAUCAAAUUCAUAUGUAAAACAACCUAUCGCCCAGGACACCCGUUUACUAGGAAGAUAAGAAUCAAAAAGGAUUGAACUACUAACUCAUUACUCAGAGGUGAAUCAUAUAACAUCAAAAGCUGUGGUAUCUUGUGGACCUAACCCUCACAACAUAAACUGAAAGAUGCAUACCCUUCUCUCCAAAGUGGAUCAAGAAAAUUUCUUUCUUAAUAACUCCCCCAUGUUGCCUUCGCUGAUCAAAAUGAGGUGCUCUGAAAAGCAAAUAACAGGGUUGCUAAGAUAAUAACACAAAACAAAAACCUCGAUACUGAGAAUAAAGUUUCACAGAUUCUAAAUUAAGAUUGCAAAUGGAAAUUAGGAACACAAAGGUAUAUAAAUAAGAACUAUGAUAUUAGAAACAGACUAUUCCAGAAGGGUAAAUUUGUAAUUUACAGCACAAACUCUGCAACAGAACAAAUAAUAAAUUAACCUCCACACUUUGAACAGCUAGUGCAAGAAAGAAUAGAAAUAUUAACUCCACUAUCAAACAUGACACACCCCCUUUAUCAUUUCAUUCCUCCAAACUAUUUUCCAUUAUCAGAUCAAGAGUACCUUUGAGCAAGAAUGCCCCAAAUGCACAAGCUCUUCUGCAACGCUCAUGAGGUUGAAGAACCCCCUACAUAAAAAAAAACAUACCUUCUCUCAUCCACCCAAAAUGUCUCGAGCGCUCAAGGAAGGCAAACAAAAGGGAGAAGCUCACCAGGUCACUAAUGCAACAGGGAUGAAUGAGAUCGUGAAAAAUAGAUGAAACUAAGAAACUUGAUACAGCAUAUCAGCUGCAAAACCACUUACCAACAUAGUAUGUGUUAUUUCCAACAUGCUUGACUCCUAAAGAAUUUGUGGAAGCAAGAAAGCAACAUCAUGGAAAACCCUUUCUUAAUCCCAGUUAAUCAUACUUUCAGUGCUUAGAACAAAGAUUGACAAAUUAUAAAUUAAUCUUGAAAAUGGCCAACUAUAAAUAUGGACAAACCCUUCUACAUGGGCAAAAUCAUAACCUGCAGCAGAAGUUACCGCCACAGCACAAACCAUAUAGUAACUUUCACCAUUCCCCAUGAACAGCUAGUAUAGGAAAAAGUAGUAUAAUACCUCCACUAUCAAAGAUGAGAAACCCCCUUAAUAAAAAAUUAUAUCACUAUGAUCCAUUUCCUUCGAACUGUCUUCCAUUAUCAGGUAAAGAUGCCCUUGAGCAAGAUCACCUGAUGUUGUACAAGCUCUUCUGCGACAUCAGAAAUAACAAACCUAUGACGUGAACUUUAAGUUUGAGAAAAAAAUAGAAAUAUUAUCAAUUCUAUCAUAAAGGUUGAGGAACACCCUCCAUCAAAAGAGCAUAUCAUGAUCCAAUCCCCCAAGCUAUCUUGAGAGCCGAUGGUUCUGGCCAAACAAAUGAGAGAACAUCACCAGGUCAUUAAUAACACAAAGGACAUUUCUGGAACACAGAUAUGAAACUCGAUACAGCAUAUAAAAAGCAGAUCCACUUAUCGAGAUCAUUACUGUCAGGCCCCACAUGCUGUGACCCCUAGAUUAUCAGUGGAAGUGAGGAACCUCGUCAUGAAAAAUCCUUUCUUAACCCUAAUCCUCUAGUAUUGCCUUCACUGAUCAAAUCAAGGUUCUGGUGAAGCAAAUAAAAAGAUUUCUAAAAUACUAACCCAAAUUGCUAAGAUACUAAUCAAAAGAAACACCUAUUAAAAAAAAGGUAAUUAGGAACAUAAAGGCAUCAAAUACUAACUAUGAUAUAAAUAAGGGUGAACCCUUCCAUAUUGGCAAAUAUGGGGAAAAAUUGUAUCCUGCAGCACAAGCUAAUCUGCAACAGCACAAAUAAUAAAUUAACCUUCAUGGUUCCACAUGAACAGCUACUGCACAAAAAAGCUAGCAUAAUGAGCUCCCCGAACAUGGAUUAGAAAUUCUAUUCAUUAAAAAAAAAUCACAGCAUUACACUCCAUUUCCUCUAAACUUUCUUCAAUUAUCAGACCAAGAUACCCUUCAGCAAGAUUGUCCCAUGUUGCAAAAGCUCUUCUGCAACAUCACAAAUAACAAACUAAGAAAGACAUGAACUAAAAGCAUAAGGGGAAAAAAAAUACUACGAUCAAUUCAAUAAUCAAAGGGAGGAAACCCCUCAUGAAAAAACAAAUAUACUCCAAUGCAGCCAUAGCAUAUUGAGAACUCACAGUGCUGGUCAAACAAAUGAGAGAAUCCCCAGGUUACUAAUGCAACAGGAAAUCAUGAAACAACUGCCAACAUCAAUCACAAAAUGAUAAACUGCAUGAGAUUAACCAAGAAAUCAAGAUUAUGCCAAACUGACCCGAACUUCCCACUUCGGGGCAUCUCGAACUGGUGAGAAACCAAGUCAAUUUGGCCUCUUGAUUGGGAAACCACUGUGAACCGGCUCGAACUAAACCAAGCGGAACCAUUAGGUUUUGCUCGGUUCAGAGAACAUGUGACCAAAAAAGAGAGGAAAGGCCAUGAGAUACCAUUCUCCUCUCUAUUCUUCAAAAAUUGUGAAGGAAAGGUAGGUUCUGUGAGAACAAACCCUUAAGGCAAAUUCGUGACCUACAGCUGAACAGCACAAAGAAUAAAUUAAAAAUACACACUUUCCCUCGAACAGCUAUUAUAAGAGAAAAUGUAUAACUCCAGUAUCACAGAUGAGAAACCCCCUUCAUAAAAAUCAUAUCAUUAUAUUCCAAGUCCUCCAAACUGUCUUCCAUCAUCAGAUCAAGAUGCCUUUGAGCGAGAUUGUCAAAUGUCGCACAAGCUCUUCUGCAACAUCCGAAAUAACAUACUAAACAAGUAUCAAAGCAUAAGAGUAAAAAAAAUGUAGUAGAACAAGUUCUACAAUCAAGGUUCAGGAAACCCUCCAUGAAAAAUACAUAUCAUGCUCCAAUCCACCCAGACUGUCUUGAGCACUCAGGUCCCCACUAUCCCACCGGUAUUUAAAACCUUGGUACUGGUCAAACAAAUGAGAGGAAGUCACAAGGUUACUGGAACAACAGGAAUGAAUGAGAUUUAACAAGACUUUGGAACAUAGAUAUGAAACUUAGUGCAGCAUAUCAGCUGCAAAACAACUUAUCAACAUAGAAUCCAUCUUGUUCCCAGCAGAAGUGAGUCUCCAUAUUGCCUCCCUGAUCAAAACAAUAUUCUGGUGAAGCAAAUAGAAAGAAUUAUUAAGAUGUCAACCCAAAGGAAUAAAACCAACUAGUGAAAUAAAAGGGGUAAUCAGGAACAUAAAGGUAUCAAACAAUAAGUACAACAUAAACAAGGACAAACUCUUCCAUAUGGGCAAAACUCUGUCUUACAGCACAGGCUCAUCUGCAACAGAACAAAUAGUAAAUUUACUUUCAUGAUUCCACACGAACAUCUACUGUAGGGAAAAGCUAGUACAACAAACUUUUCAUAUCAAGAUACCCAUAAGCAAGAUUAUCCCAUGAUGCCCAAGAUCUUCUGCAACAGCUGAAGUACAAACUGACCUACCACAUGAACUCCAGGUGUAAGGAAAAAAAUUAAUUAAACCAAAUUCUAAGUCUAGGUUGAGGAACUCCAUGAAUGAAAAAGCAUAUCAUACUCCAAUUCACCCAGACUACAUUAAGCAUUCAAGUUACUGGUCAAACAAAUGAGAGGAAAACAUCAAUGCAAUAGGAAUGAAUGAGAUUUUGGAACACAGAUGAAACUAAGAAACUUGAUACAGCAAAUCAGCUGCAAGUAUUUUCAUUAGCAACCUUGUCCAUCAACCUAGAUGUUCUCUUACAGCACAAGCUCUUCUGCAAUAACAGAAAUAAUUAACCUUAUAAACAACAUGGUUAGAGAAAAAUUAAUAAAACCAAAUAGUGAGGAAACCCUACAAAUUGCCUUCACUGGUUCUAGUGAAACAAAUGUAAGAAUCAAUAAGCUAAUAACCCAACACAUAUGAUUAACAGUAUGGAACGAAGAUGAAAUUAGAAUAAUGUGCAUCAAAUAUUAACUCAUUUAUCCACUGUUGGAGUCAUUUUGUUUCCAACAUGCACCAAGUAGGACUCCCAUGGAGCCGGAGACUAGGACCUAAACAAUGAAAAUGAGACUGUUUACAAGUAACUGAACCCAGAAUUUUACAGAAUUUGAACAAAUGUGCAUCGAGAAUUAAGUCCUGCUCGAUUCAUUUUGUUUCCAAGACGCACCAGCACUACAAGGAGUCAAACAUUAGGACCUACAUGAAAAUGAAACUGGUUGCAAGAUAAUUUUUACAGAAUUUGCCUUGAUCAAUAAGGAACAUAUUCUCUUAUUUCAUGCUGAACCAGCAUUGAUAAAAAGUCAAUUAAGAAGACAGAAGUCAACAAACAAUAGCCACAAUAUAAACAGUCAUGCAAAUUGCUUACCAUAACAUAAGAUCAGCAAAAGCAACAAAUAUAACAGCUUAACCUUAUCACAUCAACAGCAGUCCAAUUCCCCAUAUCUCAAAUGACCGAAUCAGGGUACUGGUGAAACGAACUGGAGAAAACAAUUAAACCACUAACCAAAAGGAAUUAUUGCCACCUUAAAACAAAUUUAACCCACAGAUACCUCAAUUACAUGUAAAAGCUACAAAAUCACUAAUAGACAGUGUCAUUCAAAACGCUCCCAGGAUGUACUGAAUCCUACAAUCUGUCAGAUAUGAAAAGAUGACCAGAGAUAGCGUAUUAGAAGAUAAUAAAGCUCCUUAAAAACAAACCAAAUCAGAAUUCUCCGGAUUUGACCGAAUCCAAAACAUGAACUAACUAAUUAUAAAGCAGAUUCAACAAAAGGCAAUAAGGAAGACAAUGUUUCAUAAACAAUAGCCACAAAUAUAAAGAAUGGCUUAACUUAGUGGGUCCCUAGAUCCCUUAAGCAAGACUAUUUCAAACACUACAAGCCCUUCAACAGAGAUAAUAAAUUAAUGUUUCACAUUACUCCUCGCACACGUCAAAGAAUUAAAAUUUGCCAAACAGCUACAACUGAAAGUUCGGGUAAUCGCAUAAGCUGUUAAAAUGAGGGCAUGACUAGAUGGAGGAAUAAUUCCACAAAACAACUGAAAUACAAACAUCCCUCAAAUACUAGAUAACAGUGAAAACAAGACAUAUAUGUACUACAAGAAAAGUGAUUAUAAAGAACCUUGAAGGAGUUACCAUAGAUUAAGAUUGGCAGUUGAUGAUGCUAUUAAACAUAUACCAAGUAUGGCAUCUCCACAAGAGGAAAUCUGAUAGCAAAAACAACAGAUGUGAUGGGCCUUAUGGUGGACAAAAUUGAUGAAAUGUUGUGUAACAGGUGAACUACAACCAAAAAUUGAGAUCUUACUACUCCCAAAGCUAUCAACUGGAAGAAGCAAGGUCAACAGACUAUAAGAUCAACCUGCAAACCACUACCAUUAGCUCGUUAUGAACAUGGUCAUGACUAGAUGAAACGAAUUUGCAGUUAAAAAAAAAGAAAUAAAAAUUCGCAAACUUUCUAUUUACCACACGAGCAAGUAUAGGGACAAGUACACAACCAAGACUUUCGGAGAACCAACCAAAAAGCCAAGAGCAGGUUAUCUCAGACAGGAGUCACAGGACCCUAAUCAUUGAAUAACAGCAAACAAUUAGGAUAAAGGAGGAAGCAAAUGAUAUCUAAAGGAAGAAAUAACCCUGAUUUUCUGGCCCUCAGCAAUUGCCAAGCUCAAGCUCUUGCAAAUACGACAAAAAAAACACAACAAUAAUACACAUCUAACCCACGGAAUAUGAAUAAUUUCAAGUACCAAAGUAGUCGCUCUGUCAGCAAAUCAUCUCUGCUUUUUGCUCUAAGCACUCGACCGGUAGACUGAGUAGCAACAAGAAUGGUGAAAGAGAUGGUGGAUGAGUCCCAUAUAAUAGAUAAUCAGAACCUGAAAUACCUUGCAUCUCUGGAGCCAUCCAACAACUCCAACCCAUCGAACAUGAUGUUCAUUAUAUCCUUACAAAUACUACAGCAAAAGCACCAAACACUCAAUAACACAAACGAACAAAUGAAUAAGACAUUUACAGCUUCAUAAUUGCUCCUCUAAAUGCUCUGAAUCAUGAAAAGCGAACACAAUCAAUUCGUCAGUUGAUCCUAAAUGAUCACAUGAUUAGAGUACUAGAGAAACCCAACCUUGAAUUCCAGCCUCUGCAUCAUAUUUCAUGAAUCCAUCAUUAAGAAAUCGCUUGAUACUGGUAAAACGAGGUGAAUUGAGCGGUAUAACCUGAAGUAACAACGGAAUAAAGAGCAGAGGAAAUAUAUCCUAAGCAGCCACAGAAGAUGAGUAAAGAUCAGAAGAAACUAUUAUGCCGCCACGGUGCUUGCCAACAGUAUACGAUAGCUCUGAUCAGGUAGUGCAAUUUGUUGCCACAACAAAUCCUACCGCAGCCAAAUAGAAGGAUUUCAACAAACACAAGAAGUGGAAAAAAUCAUCUCACUGAUCACAUAUUGCUUCUCUGAAUCAAACCAAUUGAUCAAAUCACAUUAUCUGAACAAAAUGAAAAUAAUCAAAGGAAAAGAAACCCCCUUCAAAACAAAACCAAUGUGGACACCUGCUUUAACAUCAUCUCUUUGAGUUGAAUUACUUGGAAAACAAGGGCAGCCUUCUCAAAAAUUGGAACCUAGAGAAACCAUCAAGAAUCAAAAACCAUGAUUAGAUUAAGCAUCAAAAUUAGAAAUCACUGUCACACUGCACAAUAAUAUUUUCAUCAUGUUUCAAACCAACUAAUCAAACCACCAAGUAAUAAAGAAACCCCCUUCACAAGAACUUCCGGCCUCUAAAUCAAGCCUCUUAUGUCCAACAUCAGAAUAUGGAAACCAAAAUAACACCGUCUUAGAAUCAGAAACAUUCUCCGAAACAUAGAAACUGCUUCCUUGAUGAUUUCACACCGAAAAUAUUAUUAAAACAAAUACUGAAAACUCGUAACCCCAGCACCAGUGCUUCAACCGAAUAAAAGAAAAUCAUGAAGUAAAUCUGAACUCGGACUGUCAGAUUGGCAAUACGCAAAAAUCCAAUCAGAAUACACCACAGCUGAUUCCUGCAGAUUAACGAUGGAGCACCCCCAAUACCAGAAGAAAGAAACCUGAACCACUUGGAUUCUUUUCUAGUAAAAAAAAGAAACUAAAUCACAAGAGACCAGAUUCAAUCGUCAAAUCCUCAAACAAGAACAAACAGCUAACAAUUCUGCGAACCCUAAAAACCAAGUCGCAAAAAAUUCCUUAAUUACUGCAAAUCUUCAACUUGAAUUUCAGCCUCUGAAUCAUGCUUAUCUUGUCCAUNNNNNNNNNNNNNNNNNNNNCCUCUGAAUCAUGCUUAUCUUGUCCAUCACCGUAAGAUGGAAUUUAAAGUAACAUUGAAUUGGCAUCAGGAACAUCUCUUUUGAGACAUCCAGAAACCACUAAUCAGGCUGCAAAAUAAUGCUUGUGUGAUGCUUUCAAACUGAAAAUAGAAUUAUCAAAAUGAAUACCAAAAACUGUAAUACAGGCAGCAGGAAAAUCAUAAGCAUGUCUGAACUCAUACGGUCGGAUUGGAAAUAUUCAAAACUGAUUAUUACACAUUACAACAAAUACCUGUAGAUUAACAAAAGAGCACACCCAGAUCCAACAAAAAAAAAAAACUCAAUCCACUGGAAUUCUUUUCAAAAAGAAAAAAGUCACAUGAAACCAGAUUCGAUUGCCAAGUCAAAAAGACUACUGCAAAUCUUCAAGAAACUCACUACCUUAUUAAAUGCAAAUCUUCUAGAAAUCUACAUCCACUUGCAAGCAAAAAUAGAGUAAAACCGUCAAUAAUCUUGAUACUGAUAAUGAAAUUAAGAAGCCAGCAGUCUGUAAAUAAUUAAAAUAUAAUGAAAUCGCAUAAGCCAGUGAGCCCCUUCCAUUCAUCGGCUGAAAUGUCACCAAUAGUACUACCGUCAUCAUCGACAGUUGCUUCAUCGCUUGGAUUCCCCCAUGGUGCCUUCACUGAUCAAAUCAAAUUUCUGGUGAAGCAAAAGAGAGAAAUACUGACCCAUAUCAAAAGUUACUCACUCACUCAGCAAUAGCAGCUAAAAUGUAACAGCUACUAAGUCACUCAGCAGUAGCAGAAUAUAUAUCAAUUCCCAUACACACCAAUGCAAGAAAAAUCACUGCUUUACUUGGAUUGCUCCAUUCUGCCUUCACUGAUCAAAUCACAGUUCUGGUAAGGCAAAUGACAGGAUUGCCAAAGAUAACAAAAUAUUUAAGUAAUUGGAACAAGUAUGAAAAAAAACAAACCCAGAUUAAAGGUAGCAGCUACUAUUAUAUCGGUUCUAAGACACGCCAGAGCCUACAAAAUAUAGUAGCGCGAUUAUCAAGACAAGCAAUAUAGUGCAAAUGCAACAGGAAGAAAAUGAAGCCCAUUACAAAUCAUAAUCCAGCAUUUUCCAAAAUAUACCAAGGGACCAGAAACAUUAAGAGAACACAAGCUAAUAAUGGAAAAAGGCGAUUAUUAGGUACACAAAUGCACGUAAACAAUGACUAGGAUUUAAAGGACAAACUCUGCUCUUCGCCUUGGAAAAAUUGCAUGCUGCAACAUAAGCACAAAUCAAUCUUCCAUGUGAAUAGUUUGUGUAGGAAAAAAAAUAUCGCAAACUCCCAAAGCGAGCCCCCUUAAUAAAAAAUCGCAACAUUACACUCCAGUCUUUCAUAUAGUCUUCAAGAUCAAGAUACCCUGAGAAUGAUUGUUUCCCUGUUGCACAAGCUUUUCUGCAACAACAGAAAUAACAAGUUAUCUUAUCACACAAACUUUAUGUAUCAGAGAAAAAUACUAUAACUGAUUCUACAAUCAAGGCUGAGGACAACGCCAGUGAAAAAGGUCAUAUCAUACUCCAAUUUGUGCGUACAUCCUAUAACGAUCAAGAAGCGGGUCAAUGAAAUGAGAGAUGAUCACCAGGUUACUAGAUCAAUAAGAAUGAGUGAUAUUCUUGAACCAAGAGAUAUCAGCUACAAAGCCCAUGGUCUGCCGUACCGGUCCGUACCGGCCGGUACGAACCGGUCCGGCCUGGGACCGGUACCGGAUCAGCGUGAAAUCCGGUACCGGUAGUUUAUUGUUGAAGAAUCGGUACUAAACCGGUACGGGACCGGUUCGGACCGGUACGCCACCGGUACGGACCGGUCCGGGCCGCCACCGGUACGCCGACCGAUACCGAUACGGCGGACCUUGACAAAGCCACUUAACAAAAUAGCCUCCAUAUCAUAUGCUUUCGCUCCUAAAGAACUGGCACUGCAUGAAGAUGAAUACGAGCUAGAAGAUAGCUUCAACCCUAUGAAAUAAAAAAAAGGAUCAUCAAAGAUAAUCAAAUCCAGAAUCUACUUACCUCCAUAGCCUAUAGUAUACAAAAACCAUCAAUAAUCCCAUUAUCUAUUUUACUAUAUAACACCAACUCCCUUAAUAUCUCAAUGCAUGAGGUGUGUCAGACAAUCAAUGUUUCCCCACCCAUGUUCCAUGUUUGCGUUUUCCCUUCAGUGCGGCUGUUACCAACAAGAUCAAAAAGUCCGAGUCCUUCCUCAUCAAAAAAUAAUGUGCAUCCCUUAUGCCGCAUUCUUGAUAAACAAGCAAUCAAGAAAGCAGGUCAGUUUCAUCAGGUUAUUUCCAAUCGAGUCUAGAAUCAACACCAAAUGAAGCUUCAUCUUAACAACUACGUACACCGUAACUAAUGGGUAGCCCUUACCGUCUUUCUACAAGCUCCGGUUGGAAAUCCCUCACUACAUUAGAACUGCACCUCAACAGCGAAAGACUUAUGUCAUUCUCCCUCUGCCUCAUGAAGCUUUUCACACUCACUCCAUGCAUUUUAACCAGCUCACUAACGUCGCCAUUUCAGACAAGGAAUUUGGUUUGACAUCUCCCUAGUUUGCUCGGCUGAACGAACAGGUCUAAAUGGGUGGUAAGCCCAAAAUGUCACCCAAAACAGAAUUCAUUCUGUGAUGGAAAUACUAAUAAAUUAUUCUUCAACUCUGUAAUGUAACACUGUAGAUAGAGAGAGAAACAUAGCACAAUCAAAUUCAUAUGUAAAACAACCUAUCACCCAGGACGCCCGUUUACUAGGAAAAUAAGAAUCAAAAAGGAUCGAACUACUAACUCAUAACUCAGAGGUGAAUCAUAUAACACCAAAAGCUGUGGUAUCUUGUGGACCUAACCCUCACAACAUAAACUGAAAGAUGCAAGCCCUUCUCUUCAAAGUGGAUCAAGAAAAUUUCUUUCUUAAUAACUCCCCCAUGUUGUCUUCGCUGAUCAAAAUGAGGUGCUCUGAAAAGCAAAUAACAGGGUUGCUAAGAUCAUAACACAAAAAAAAAACCUCGGUACUGAGAAUAAAGUUUCACAGAUUCUAAAUUAAGCUUGCAAAUGGAAAUUAGGAACACAAAGGUACAUAAAUAAGAACUAUGAUAUUAGAAACAGACCCUUUCAGAAGGGUAAAUUCGUAAUUUACAGCACAAACUCUGCAACAAAACAAAUAAUAAAUUAACCUCCACAGUUUGAAUAGCUAGUGCAGGAAAGAAUAGAAAUAUUAACUCCACUAUCAAAGAUGACAAACCCCCUUUAUCAUUGCAUUCCUCCAAACUACUUUCCAUUAUCAGAUCAAGAGUACCUUUGAGCAAGAAUGCCCCAAAUGCACAAGCUCUUCUGCAACGCUCAUGAGGUUGAAGAACCCCUACAUAAAAAAAAACAUACCUUCUCUCAUCCACCCAAAACGCCUUGAGCGCUCAAGGAAGUCAAACAAAUGGGAGAAGCUCACCAGGUCACUAAUGCAACAGAGAUGAAUGAGAUCGUGGAAAAUAGAUGAAACUAAGAAACUUGAUACAGCAUAUUAGCUGCAAAACCACUUACCAACAUAGUAUGUGUUAUUUCCAACAUGCUUGACUCCUAAAGAAUUUGUGGAAGCCAGAAAGCACCAUCAUGGAAAACCGUUUCUUAAUCCCAGUCAAUCAUACUUUCAAUGCUUAGAACAAAGAUUGACAAAUUAUAAAUUAAUCUUGAAAAUGGCCAACUAUAAAUAUGGACAAACCCUUCUACAUGGGCAAAAUCAUAACCUACAGCAGAAGUUACCGCCACAGCACAAACCAUAUAGUAACUUUCACCAUUCCCCAUGAACAGCUAGUAUAGGAAAAAGUAGUAUAAUACCUCCACUAUCAAAGAUGAGAAAGCCCCUUAAUAAAAAAUCAUCUCACUAUGAUCCAUUUCCUUCGAACUGUCUUCCAUUAUCAGGUAAAGAUGCCCUUGAGCAAGAUCACCUGAUGUUGUACAAGCUCUUCUGCGACAUCAGAAAUAACAAACCUAUGACGUGAACUUUAAGUUUGAGAAAAAAAAUAGAAAUAUUAUCAAUUCUAUCAUAAAGGUUGAGGAACACCCUCCAUCAAAAGAGCAUAUCAUGAUCCAAUCCCCCAAGCUAUCUUGAGAGCCGAUGGUUCUGGUCAAACAAAUGAGAGAACAUCACCAGGUCAUUAAUAACACAAAUGACAUUUCUGGAACACAGAUAUGACACUCGAUACAGCAUAUAAAAAGCAGAUCCACUUAUCGAGAUCAUCACUGUCAUGCCCCACAUGCUGUGACCCCUAGAUUAUCAGUGGAAGUGAGGAACCUCGUCAUGAAAAAUCCUUUCUUAACCCUAAUCCUCUAGUAUUGCCUUCACUGAUCAAAUCAAGGUUCUGGUGAAGCAAAUAAAAAGAUUUCUAAAAUACUAACCCAAAUUGCUAAGAUACUAAUCCAAAAGAAACCCCUAUUAAAAAAAAAGGUAAUUAGGAACAUAAAGGCAUCAAAUACUAACUAUGAUAUAAAUAAGGGUGAACCCUUCCAUAUUGGCAAAUAUGGGAAAAAAUUGUAUCCUGCAGCACAAGCUAACACAAAUAAUAAAUUAACCUUCAUGGUUCCACAUGAACAGCUACUGCACAAAAAAGCUAGCAUAAUGAACUCCACGAACACGGAUUAGAAAUUCUAUUCGUUAAAAAAAAAUCGUAGCAUUACACUCCAUUUCCUCUAAACUUUCUUCAAUUAUCAGACCAAGAUACCCUUCAGCAAGAUUGUCCCAUGUUGCAAAAGCUCUUCUGCAACAUCACAAAUAACAAACUAAGAAAGACAUGAACUAAAAGCAUAAGGGGAAAAAAAUACUACGAUCAAUUCAAUAAUCAAAGUGAGGAAACCCCUCAUGAAAAAACAAAUAUACUCCAAUGCAGCCAUAGCAUAUUGAGAACUCACAGUGCUGGUCAAACAAAUGAGAGAAUCCCCAGGUUACUAAUGCAACAGGAAAUCAUGAAACAACUGCCAACAUCAAUCACAAAAUGAUAAACUGCAUGAGAUUAACCAAGAAAUCAAGAUUAUGCCAGACCUAGAUAAGCACUCAAUAUAAAAGGGAUCACCAUCGAAAGUACAGUAGGAGAUGCACUAUAGCAGAUUUAUCACCGACAAACCAGAACUUGUUUAGAGGGACUAUAGGAAACACAAGAGCACAAAGCACCUAAUGAAUCAAAAAGAUGAGCCAAUAAUAGCACCCAAGAACGAAGACGAACUGUGAAGGGACUUGGAAGGUGGACGAGAAUCCUACAAAAUCAAUAUACAAGGAAAAAAUUAGUCCUCCUAACCAAUAAUUAAGAUCUGAAGUACCUUGUAUCUAGGGAGGCAUCAGAUGACCUAGCCCUGCAAAGAUGAUGUCCACCACAUCCUUCCAAAUGCUACAGUAACAACAGCAGUAAUAACCACACUCAACAACACAAAUAGCCAAAAGACUAGGACAUCUUUUGCUUCUAUUUGCAGCAUAAGAUUGCAACUCUAACUCUAAAUGCUCUGGAUCAUGAAAAGCAAAUGCACUAAGUUAUUUAUUCAUAACCCUGACUGAUCAAAAUGAUGAAAUUACACUAUAAUCAAAAUAUAAAUUGGUGAGGAAAUCCCAUAUGAGAACCAAUGUUCUCCAGCUUCUGAGUGUCCAUUAAGUAAUGACUUGGUAUUCUGGCAAACCAAGCUGAACCAGUCAGCAAUAUAAUCUCUAAGUAACAACCAAAUAAGCAGCAGGAAGGGUAGAUUCUGAGAAGCCUCGGCAGAAAUAUCAUGUUGCCACAAUGCUUGACAUAUGAAGUGACAACAUGCAAAGGAAAUGGAAUUUAUCAUUCUAUCAAACCAGUAUAUGAUAGCUCCGAUCAGGUAAAAGGAUCAGUGCAAUUUGACACUUCAACGAUACAACUGCAACCAAACAAAAGGAUUCCAUCAAAAACAAGAGGUUAAAAAAAAUCAUCACUCUGAUCACAUCUUGCUUCUCAGAAUCGAACCAAUUAUUCAAAUCACAAUAUACGACAAACCAUAAUACUUGAAAGGAAAAGGUACACCCUCGAAAAGAAGCAAUCAGAACCCCUGCCUCCACAUCAUCUCUUUUGUUUGAAGAGAUGAUGGAACCUAAAGCAAUCAUCAAGAAUCAAGAACCAUGAAACAUCAGAAGUCUUCGUUCCCUACACUAUAAUAUAUUCAUCAUAUCCAUGUAAUAGAGAAACCCCCUGAAGUCAAUCUGAAUUCCGGCCUCUAAAUCAUGCCUCUCUGGUGACAUCGAGUAUGAAACCUGAAGUAACAUUGAAUCGGGAUCAAGAACUAUCGGCAUUAUAAACAUCAGAAACCAUCAUCUAGCUACAAAAUAAUACUGCCGCGAUGCUUUCAAACAGACCAUGAUGUAUUGAAAAAAAACACUAAAAGCUCAUAAUCCUGCAACGGUUCUUCAACCAAAUACAAGGAAAUCCGGAACUCAUACUGUCGGAUUGGCAACACUCCGAAUCCAAUUAAAACACAUCACCGCUGAUUCCUGGAGAUUAACGAAGAAGCACUUCCAGUUUCAUAAGAUACCUGAACCGCAUAAAUUCCAUUUGAAAAGAGGAAACCUAAAUCACGAAAAACCGGAUUCAAUCCUCAAAUCGACUAAGUCUCGAGGGACAAACCGAUUCUAAUUCUGUAAACCCUAGGACCAUGUCAUAGAAAAAUACCUAACUACUGCAAAUCUUCAAGCGAUCUUCAAGAAAUUCGCUACCUUAAUUACUGCAAAUCUUCAAGAAAUAUUUCCCUGGUGAUUAGACCGAUCAUAAGAACCAUAGAAAACCUAAAUAAAAAAAACAAAAUCGAAGAGAUAUUACUCCAACAAAGAAGAAGAAACGCAGUGAAAGAACAGCCGAACGAACACCAGCAGCACGUCGCGCGCCCGACGGACUCCGGAAGGCUGUGGUGGGCCGCUAUUUAUAGACAAGGUGGGGAAAGAGGAACGGCAGAGAUUGAACGGAUUAGAAGGAAGCGACGGUCAGAUCGGGUAGGCGUUUCUAAAGGCGGUGGGUGUGGGUCCCUUUGUGCUUUCCUGGUCGGUGUCGAAUUUGGACCGAGUCAAAAACGUGCGGAGCCAGCUCAUCACUGAGAUUAACUUGAAUAACAAUUAACUUGUUGUCAACCGGUUAUCCACGUGGAUGAUCAAAAAAUUAUACGAGACCAACGGUUAUGAAUUUGACUCUGGUUAAAAUUGAUUAAAUAAGCUGUUCCAUUCAACACAGCCAUUACUAUUUACUAAGAUGCAAAUGAUUCAAGAUUUUUUUUAGUUAUUAUAUAUAAUAACUAAUAACUAUUGAUUGUUGUGAAUCACUUUUUAACUUUAAAUAUAGAAACAUUUUAAACUUGGAAUAUAUUUUCUAUGAUGAUUUUGAAAUAUAUAAUGACAAUUAUGAGAAAAUGUUUCUCAUGAAGGAUCUCAAAUCUUCCUGCAGACAGUAAUAUUUUCUUUUUCAAAUUUAGCACCUUUUUAGUUUUAAAUGACAGAUUAACAAAACAUGAAUGCUAUCCUCUAUUUAUUUUUUUUAUUGUUAUUUUUAAUAGGAGUUAUAAUCUGCUUUUUGGAAGCAAUUGCAUAUACAAAUAAGCCGAAUAACUACAAAAAUUUACAGUCAUAAACAUCACCAUCAAAUAACCUGUAGAAGGACCUCAUUCAAUUAUGGAUAGAAGUGACAAUAGUUUGAGCCUUUAAUAACCCAGCAUCUCGGCCAAAUAUCUAGUUGAAAGGUAUUAUUUGGAUUUCUUGAUCCCGUAUAAGUACCUGAGAUCUAUCUAGUGAAUGACCGAUGUGGGUCUAAACACAAGCCCGCACGGCUCCUCACAUACUUCUCUAUUCAAGCCUUUACGUCCUCAUCGGACUAAGGGUUCAAAUCUAUUCAAAUCUAAUCACAAACACCACGAUCGGCUUGUUUUCAGCCCUAAUGAACGGUGUUGCUGUGUCUCCUAGUCUACUUUGAUUAUGGGCCGGAUCCGAAGUCAAAUUUGGUCAAUAUCCAUAUCCAUGUCCAAUUUUAGAGUACAGACCUAUUAUAUGUAAAUAAAAUGACUCAACUUGUGCUGAGUUAUCCAUUCUGCACAUGGUACACCCAUAUUAAUGUUAUUAAGGUAGGAUCCUUAUUUAAUACAACUCUUUAUUUUGGAGCAUAACAAUAAUAUCAUUAAUAUGGUUGUUUAUUUUUGACAAUAAACAUGACUCUUAUUUAAUAUAGUUAGAUAUUUAGAAUGCCUAUACUCAUUCAUCAAACUUUCUACUCUUAAUGAGAACUCAUCAUAUUCUUUAUUUUGUUUUUGUUUUUACUCUUAACAAAUUUAUAAAGUAUUAAUGCCUUCAAUUUUGAUAAAAAAAAAUUCUUAUUUUUGAUAAAUAAUCUCUGAUAACACAUUUUUUAGUAUUAUGGUAAUUAGUUUUAAUGUCAAUUACAACCACUAUUCUUUUUUUGCAUCACUUUUUAUUAUCUAAUAUUAUUAUAAUAGCCAUUACAAUAAUAAUUAUAAAUAUCAAAUUAAUAAAAAAAUAUUAUAUAGUAAAUAAUAGUUGUCAUUUACUCUUAUAGCUGAAACAAGAGGAAGAUGGAGUUAUAAUCAUCAUUUCUUAAUAGAGUUUUGUUACGAGGAGUAUUACAUUAUCUAUUUCCUUAAUGAUAAGUGAAUAUAUAUAAGCGAUAGAUAAUAGAGUAUCUUAUUUCAUCUAUAUUAAGUAUUCAUUAUAAAAAGCAGCAAUUAUACUUAUAUAAUUAAUAUUAGUGUAGAUGAUAGUUGUGAAUAUUAUCUAACUAAAAUAGAUAAGUAUUAUUCUCAUCUAAAUUGAUAUUACUAUAUCAAUUUAGAUAUUUAAUGAAAGUUUUUACUCAGUCAUCAUCAAAGUUUAUUGUUUAAUGUGCAACAUAAAUUUAGCUAUUGAAGCCUUCUAUUCAUUAUGAUUUAAUAUAUUAUUAUAUUAUAAUUAAAAAGUAUUUGGAAAAAGAGAAAAAUUUGUAUUUGUGAAGGAUCAAUAUUCUACCAGGUAUAUAAUAUAUGAACUAAACAAUUUUUUUGUGUUGUGGUAUAUCUUUUGAUUAAUUUAAGUCUCUUGAUACCAAACACAAGUUAGCUUAAAUAAUUAACUUUUAGAGCAUGCACUUUACUCAAGAAAGAGCAUUUGAAUCAAAACAACUUGAAAAUAUCAUGUAUCUAAUUCUGUGUUAUAAUUUUUUUAAUUACUAUGACAUAUGCGAUAGAGAAAGACAAAAAGAGAGGUCUCUGAGGCUGUAUUAUUAAAUUUAUUAUCUUUAAUUUUCAAAAGAGAAAGAAAUGUUUUUGUCUUUGAUAAUGAUGCAAAUCUUGAUUUAUUAAAAGCUUGUUUUGUCACUCGUAAAGCUUUGAGCAACAUCUUAAACAUCUUAAGGACAUCGGGUAUUACUCGUAUUUUGUUAUUUCUCUUUUUUUCUUUUGUUAGUUGUAGCCAUUUUUGAUAUAUCCUAUGAGAGUUGAAUAUAUUUUCAAAAUUGAUUGACUCAAGCUUCAGCAUGAGAUAAUCAUUCUCUUAUCAGAUGUUAUAAAAUGCAAUACAUUGUCUUUGUACAAUUGUGAAGAUCCUUAAUUAUUCUUACUGGCUUGAUCAAGCUAGUUUUUUACUAGGUAUAGAGAAAUAUGAAAAGAUAUCUCCGCAUCUGUAUGACAAUCAUUUUUUCUUGCUGAGAGAGAGAUUAAUGAGAAAGUAGAGAAUGACCAACGUCUACAAUUACUCUAGGAGGUGAGAUGAUUUAUAGAUAGCCCCCGCAGAACGGUUGGCUGUCGAUGGUUUAAAAAUAAAGCUUUAUUCCUUUUAUUUUGUUCUUUUAUUUUGAUAAUAUCCAACAGUCAACAUCCAGAAAGAUGAUGUAGACCGGUCCAUGAUAGAAACAUUCAACAUCCGGCACUAGGAUCAGAGCCCAGGAUCUCUGAAGACUUCAGAAGGGGCCCCAUGGUGACUUAGUGUGCUUGUUGGACCAUUAACAGACCUCAUAGAGAUGGACGGUCCUUGCAUAAAUAUAAUGGCUUCAGGUCUACAAUAACCUCAGGUAGUUUCCUUGGUGCUCAGAGGCUGGUUGACCCAAGCGCACUUUGGGAUGCAAAGUAUGUGCCUGUAUGACUCAGUGGAUAAAGGGCCAUUGGUCAGAAAUGAUGCACAGGAAAAGAAUUCCAUGAUGAAUUUUUGCUAAAGAUCAAUUUUGAUCAUAGUGUGAAGAACAAAGGAGCAAAAGGAGUAGCAGCUUUUGUCAUUAGAGGCUUGGAAUUCAUCGGUGCACGUAGCUGCCACCUAUACGAUGUCUUAGUCCUUGGGGAAGAGUUGAGAGGAGCCUCGAAGGGCAUGAGGUUUGCCAUGACCAUACUUCAGGCAAACCAACUCAUUCUAGAGGGAGAUUUAUCCUCUAUUAUUGGGCGGGUGUCUAAGCCGGUGGCACAUGGAGGACCCUGCCCUGUCCUUGGAGACAUAUGGAGGAUGAUUAGAAGUUUUGACAGCUUCCAAACAUUCCAUGCUUAUCAGAAAGCGAACAGCGCAACUGACUAGGUAGCUUAGUUUGUGGCAGAACACACAAAAAAAAAUGAGUGGGUACCAAGAGGGCUCUUCGAGUGCAAUUAGAGAAUUCUUUGUACUCCGACAAUAUUAGAUGUAUUCAUAUUAGAUUUGUAUGAAUUGUCCGUUCCAACAACUUAAAAUAAAAUAUUAUCAAAUUUUCAGCAAUAUUUUUAAAUAAAUAAUUCAAGUAAUGAUAUUUUUUUCUAUCCAUUUGUUAGUCAUUUAUGACCCACUUACAUAAAAACUAUCAAUAUAGACAUUUCGAAAAGCAAAAUAUGUUUAUAUAAAUUAAUAAAUCACUUUUAAAUAAAUUAUUAGAAAAUAUAUUUUUUAUUAUAAAUAAAUUUUAAUAGUCUCAAUUUUUUAUUAAGUAAAUAUAUUUAAACACAAUGACACCAUUAAUUGAUUAGUUUGAAGGAAAUCAAAUCAUUAUAUAAGAAACAAAAAUUUGGAUUUAACAUACUUGUACAUUAACAUACAAAAAGAGAAAAAUAUUUCCAUCAAACAGCAACGAUUUCCGAUUAUCUUGACUCAAUAAUUUGACGUAGAAAAAAAAAUACUACUCUUCUAGUAAUAUUUACCUUCUCUCUAAAUAAAAUAAACAUAAAAUUCAUCAUUUAUUUUACCAUCUCACCCAUCCACUUUUCGUACCAAAUAUAAUGAUGUAAUAUAAAAUUUAUUUUCUCCUAUUAAAUUACCUUCAACCAAAUGAACUUACAGAAAUAAAUCACUUGGUUGUUUAGGGCAUGCUAAUAGUUUUUAUAUUACUAGUUGAGCCGUACAAUUUUCUUAUGCAUAGCGUCAAGCACUGCACCGAUGUGACAGUCAGAAAUUGAAAUGGUACAUAGGAAGAUCUUCGUGGACUGAGGAGGAGAGAUAGAUGCCAGCUUAAUUUAUCAUUUUGGUAAAGAAAAAAUGCUAAAGAUCAUUAACCAGAUCUCCACUCAAUUCACAGGUGAUUGGAUAAAUAACAGACAGGGCCCAAAUCCUCUUUUGAACAUCCCUUAAAAUGCUAAAGAUUUAUGUAAGCUUAUUAUUAUGUCAACAUUAAUUGCAAACCAAAACCUUCAAAAUUUUGUACAUUUUCCAUUAUAUCAAUAUUUAUUAUUCAUCAGACUCACAAAGUAGUAGAGUUUUAUAUUAAAGUUGCUACCUCAUCUAAAAAAUUUAUGUCUAUUCAUCAAUAUACUGCCGAUUCUUUUCAUUCUUGUAUUCUCAUGUGGCGUUAUUACUCGUCGAGACUUGCAGCAUAAGGGUAGAAAGUGAAGUGACAGGCAAGUCAAGAUCACUUUUUGUCAUCCGGCCAUAAGCCCCAAAAAGUGUUAUUAGACUUAAACAAAUUAUCAUUAGCCCCCUCCACUUUUUGUCAUCCGGGCUGGGGACCGGCAUUGGCAGUGUUAAGCUAUAAAAAUAACGUACAUUAAAGGCGUACAAAACUAUAGCACAUAAAUAAAUGUCCAGUAGCCAUAGAAAACAUUGAAACAGUACGCAUAAAAGCAGGAUGACGCCUAAGUCAAACGUUCUUUUCAAGGUCUGUGAAAAACUACCCACUACUAACCUAUACUUUUAGGACUGGUAACAAAAAGAAUGAUGCCAGGCCAAAAAAUCUGACGUGGACUGCAGAAGAAAAGCAACCAACAUCUUUUAUCCCUAAUAUAUAAAAACUAAUUGCGAGAUCCAGACAAAUAUUCAGGUAAAAAAACACCAAAAUUCAAAUAGGAAGGAGAAGAAAAAAAUGGUCAAUCCAACCAAAUGAUUCAUAAAUUGAAGAUAUGAUAAAACAGAACAUGAACGUUGCCUUAAAUUUUGUUGUAGUCCAACAUCCGUACCAAGCACAAAAGCCAAUUCAACAUCACAAAUUCAGACAGGCUCAAAUCACCAUAAACAAGAUAUUGACCAUGACCAUGAAAGAAUGAAUUACUAAAUGAACUUCACACUCCAAUCAACAAUCCACAUCACCACAAAUAUGAGAAAGCUCUAUCAGGAGAAUCCUCACACCAUUUGUCUCACCUUUUCUAGUAGUGUGCAAUUGUGGUGAAAAUAAAACAUUCUCACAAACUGGAUCAGUUGUCACACUAUUUUCCAUAGAUAUACCGGCUCUCUACCAUGCAGUUGGACCCCGGAACACAUCAGCAAUAAAGACUAAAGAUGGAAAAGCAUAAGCCCAAGAAUGUACUAUCAUCACGGUUAGAUUUUUCCCACCACCAAUAAUGCAGACGACUAGUCAAAGCCAAGAGCACUUAUAAAUAAAAUGGAUUCUGCAUAACAAUAAAUUAAAUGUGACCUACCGCAAAAAUUAUAAAAAGGCAUAUGAAGAUAUUCAAUUUGCAACAUCAGCUCAUCACCAGCAAACAAUGCGACAGGUUUGGUAAAAGGCAAAAUUGACUAAAGGAAUCACAAUAAUGGAAAUGAUCAUCAAGUCAAAAAAAUGUUAGCAAGGAAGAGUUCAAAAAUGCCACUUGCAUCACAUACAAGUUCACUUAUCAAUGUUAGCAUACACAUUAUUCCCAAGACCUUUCAUGUCCUACAGAACUGAUGUUGAAUGGUGCCAAACAUCAGCUAACAAUUAGCCGCAAGUCUAUGAAGGGGUGAAAAGGAAGCUCAACAGAGAUGAGCAAAUCCAAGUUACCUACAUUGGUUCCCUGGUAUACCAAACCCAUCAACUAACUGAAAACCAACAACAACAAACCAAUCUAAAAGAAGCUAAAGGUCUGUAAAUAGUAACAAAUAUAACAAAUGUCAUAAGUUUGUAAGCCCCUUCAGUCGGACUGUCCCCUAAAAACCCAAAUAGUAAAAGAAUUUACCCUUUCAAAUAAAAACACUGCCACGAAAAAAAAUCAUAUGAACAAUCCAACUAUCAAAUGCAAUGAAUCAUCAUCAUACAAAAAAAAAACAUAAUAGCCAAUAUAGAUCCUGGAGAAAAUCAAGUCCAUUGAACAGAUGUUCACGAUAUGGGUACUAAGUACCACACUGGUUUGGUACCGAAACUCAAUAUAGUACAGUAUGGUACGGUACCAUGCCAUACCAACCCUCGAUCUCAAUACACAGAAAUGCACUGACAAGCUGUAACAGACAGUAUACCACAAACAUUAACUAAUCAAAAACAAAUAUUAGUAAACACACUAGAACAGUAUAAUAUGCAAUGUAAUUAAGUAAACCCUUUCACUUAAGCCGGAUUUUCCCAUGAAUAACAAUCUAUUCUGCAACAAUGCAAACAAUAUAUUACUAAAUACACCUUGAAAACAGGGAAAAAAAGAAAUUACAACUCAACUACCAAAAUGUGACAGAUCCCUUUCCAGAAUUCAUUUCUUCAGUUCCUUCACAUUUGUCUCCACCGAUCAAAUGAAGGUUUAGGUUAGACAAACAGGAGGAAAUCCUAGUUGCCAACAGAGAGAUGAUUCAGACUUUGCACUGAAGCUGAGGGGAAAAAUAAAAAGACCUGACAAAUUGUAACAGAUACAAAGUCACUUUCCACAGCAAAAUACAUAUCGAUUCAGACAUACCAAUACCUACAAGCCAACAAAGAAGNNNNNNNNNNNNNNNNNNNNNNNNNNNNNNNNNNNNNNNNNNNNNNNNNNNNNNNNNNNNNNNNNNNNNNNNNNNNNNNNNNNNNNNNNNNNNNNNNNNNNNNNNNNNNNNNNNNNNNNNNNNNNNNNNNNNNNNNNNNNNNNNNNNNNNNNNNNNNNNNNNNNNNNNNNNNNNNNNNNNNNNNNNNNNNNNNNNNNNNNNNNNNNNNNNNNNNNNNNNNNNNNNNNNNNNNNNNNNNNNNNNNNNNNNNNNNNNNNNNNNNNNNNNNNNNNNNNNNNNNNNNNNNNNNNNNNNNNNNNNNNNNNNNNNNNNNNNNNNNNNNNNNNNNNNNNNNNNNNNNNNNNNNNNNNNNNNNNNNNNNNNNNNNNNNNNNNNNNNNNNNNNNNNNNNNNNNNNNNNNNNNNNNNNNNNNNNNNNNNNNNNNNNNNNNNNNNNNNNNNNNNNNNNNNNNNNNNNNNNNNNNNNNNNNNNNNNNNNNNNNNNNNNNNNNNNNNNNNNNNNNNNNNNNNNNNNNNNNNNNNNNNNNNNNNNNNNNNNNNNNNNNNNNNNNNNNNNNNNNNNNNNNNNNNNNNNNNNNNNNNNNNNNNNNNNNNNNNNNNNNNNNNNNNNNNNNNNNNNNNNNNNNNNNNNNNNNNNNNNNNNNNNNNNNNNNNNNNNNNNNNNNNNNNNNNNNNNNNNNNNNNNNNNNNNNNNNNNNNNNNNNNNNNNNNNNNNNNNNNNNNNNNNNNNNNNNNNNNNNNNNNNNNNNNNNNNNNNNNNNNNNNNNNNNNNNNNNNNNNNNNNNNNNNNNNNNNNNNNNNNNNNNNNNNNNNNNNNNNNNNNNNNNNNNNNNNNNNNNNNNNNNNNNNNNNNNNNNNNNNNNNNNNNNNNNNNNNNNNNNNNNNNNNNNNNNNNNNNNNNNNNNNNNNNNNNNNNNNNNNNNNNNNNNNNNNNNNNNNNNNNNNNNNNNNNNNNNNNNNNNNNNNNNNNNNNNNNNNNNNNNNNNNNNNNNNNNNNNNNNNNNNNNNNNNNNNNNNNNNNNNNNNNNNNNNNNNNNNNNNNNNNNNNNNNNNNNNNNNNNNNNNNNNNNNNNNNNNNNNNNNNNNNNNNNNNNNNNNNNNNNNNNNNNNNNNNNNNNNNNNNNNNNNNNNNNNNNNNNNNNNNNNNNNNNNNNNNNNNNNNNNNNNNNNNNNNNNNNNNNNNNNNNNNNNNNNNNNNNNNNNNNNNNNNNNNNNNNNNNNNNNNNNNNNNNNNNNNNNNNNNNNNNNNNNNNNNNNNNNNNNNNNNNNNNNNNNNNNNNNNNNNNNNNNNNNNNNNNNNNNNNNNNNNNNNNNNNNNNNNNNNNNNNNNNNNNNNNNNNNNNNNNNNNNNNNNNNNNNNNNNNNNNNNNNNNNNNNNNNNNNNNNNNNNNNNNNNNNNNNNNNNNNNNNNNNNNNNNNNNNNNNNNNNNNNNNNNNNNNNNNNNNNNNNNNNNNNNNNNNNNNNNNNNNNNNNNNNNNNNNNNNNNNNNNNNNNNNNNNNNNNNNNNNNNNNNNNNNNNNNNNNNNNNNNNNNNNNNNNNNNNNNNNNNNNNNNNNNNNNNNNNNNNNNNNNNNNNNNNNNNNNNNNNNNNNNNNNNNNNNNNNNNNNNNNNNNNNNNNNNNNNNNNNNNNNNNNNNNNNNNNNNNNNNNNNNNNNNNNNNNNNNNNNNNNNNGGAGUCGAGUCGCGUUUCUCAGGAGUCGACUCGGCUCUCAGGGUCGAGAAUUGCUCUCUGACUUUUUUGUCUGUAACUCCCUGGAGUCGACUCAUACUACUCCAGAGUCGACUCGGCAAGCUUCGGAGUCGACUCGCGCUCUUCAGGAGUCGACUCGCUGACAGGUUUUGAAUUGAGUCUUUCUGUUCAUCUGUCUGUUCUCAGUCGGAGUCAACUCGUAAUAUUCCGGAGUCGACUUGAGCCUGUGCCAGUGCUUCUGAUACGCUUGGAGUCGACUCGUAAUAUCCCGGAGUCGACUCGAGUCUCAGACUUUGGUUCAACUUGACUUCUUAACUUAUCCAAAAUAUCUUGAACCAAGUCUAGACGCACUUAACCAUAAAUUUAUAAGAUUUUUACUGAAACACUAGAUUGAAUUCAUUAGUAAACAAGAGAUAUACUCAAAUGCUUUGAGCUCAUCAAAAUCAAAUAGGGUUAUGAUCAAUCACUCCACAGAAGAGCAGCAUAGGAACAAACAUUAGAAUCAAAAUAUAAACCAAAUCCAUGAAAAAAAAAGAAAAACGCCAAUCACACAUGAUGAAAUCUAGGAUUUUUCAAAAUUUCCCAAGUUCCAAAACUUGAGGGACCAAUAACAAAUUACAAAAUUACAUUGAUAAAAGUUAAUCAAGAAAAUAAAACAAAGGCUUAAUAGAAGUUCAUUUCUUCACUCCAGUUCCGAGUAUGACAUUCACUGAUGAAAUCAAGGUUCUUAUAAAGCGGAUACUAACCCACAAGUAAAAUUUGGGUAUUUCAAACAAAGAUGAAGAAAAUAGACCCUGGCAGCAUAACAGCUACUAUGUCAUUUAUCGACAACUGAAUUUAUAUCGCUUCCAUGAUACACCAAACAGCAAGGCAUAGUGAGUGAGACAAGAGCCAAAUUAUACCCAAGCCCAACAGGAAGAAAAUAGAACCCAUUGCAAAUCGCACUUCAGCACUAAUCAAAAUCUGCAGUACAAUUGACGAAUUACAAAUUAGUACUGAGAAAGGCAAUAAGAAACAUAAACAUAUAUAAACAAUAACCACAAUAUAAAGGACACUCUUCCGCCUUGGGAAAAUUGAGCCAUAAAACGCAAGCAUGUCUGCAACAGCAGAAAUGAUAAAUUGAUCUUCCAUAUUAACAGCUAGUAUAAGGAAAAAUUAGCAUAACAAAAUCCACUGUCAAACAUAACGAUUAGAAAAAUCACAUCACUGAACUCCAAUUCUCCAUAAGGUCCUCAAUUCCUGGAUCAGGAUACCCUUCAGCAAGAUAGUCCCCUGUUGCACAAGCUCUCAUUCAACAACAGAAUUCACAGUUACCUAUCACAUGAAUGUUACUUUCAGGAAAAAACUAGUACAAGUGUACAACCAAUCUUACAGUAAAGGUUGAGGAAACCCAUUCAUGUGCACCAAAAAAAAAACAAUUCAUACUUCAAUUCAUCUAUGUUAUUUGAGUGAUCAAGGUCCUCAUCAAAGAAAUGAGAAAAGUCCAACAGCAAUAAUUGAAAUUUUGGAACAUAACAGAACCAAACUCAAUACAGAAUAUCAGCUACAAAUCCACUUAUCGACACAGCAUCCAUACCAUUCCCAAAGUGCUUCAACACUCAGAACCCGUACGGCAUGGAGGCAACAAGAAAUAAUCUAAACCCAAUGGUGAAUCAGAAUGAAUCUCAUCAAUGAUACCAAAUCAAUUUUCAAUGAACAUCAACAGCCCACAGAUACUGGUCAGACAAAUAAGACCCACCAAGAAUAUAUAAGAUUUUGGAACAAGGAUGAAACAAAGAAACAACACAUAUAUCAGCCAAAAAUCCACUUAUCAACAUAGCAGCCAUAUGUUCUCCAAUAUGUUUUUGACUCCUAAAGUAGGUGUUGCAUGCAGAUAGAAGACAAAGCCAAAAGAUUGCCUGCCCUACGGGACAUAAAAAUGAAGCUCACCAAAGAUAAUCAAAUCCAUAAUCUAAGCAUAUCCACAGCCUACAGUAUACCAAAACCAUCAACAUUCUCAAUAUUGAUAAGAAAACAAUUAAAAAAGUUAACAGUCCAUAAAAUGACUACUACAGCAAAUGAAUGGUGUACCUAAUGGACCCCCUUCCCUUCAUCCAAAAUGACAUGUAAAACCGUGACAGCACAUAUAGUAGAUUAUUAUUCUUUAAUCCUUUCAUAUAACCCACUAUAUUGGAGAGCAUACAAUUAAUACAAUAAUUCAACUAUAAAUAAGCAAUCAUCGUGAAAAAACAUUUCCUCACACAAUUCCUCCAUAUUGCCUUCACUGAUCAAAUCAAGGUUUUGUUGAAACCAUGGUCUGCCAAGCUGACCCGAACUACCCAAUUCGGGGCAUCUCGAACUGGUGAGAAACCAAGUCAAUUUGGCUUCUUGAUUGGGAAACCAUUCUGAACCAGCUCGAACAAAACCAAGCGGAACCGUUUGGUUUUGCUCGAUUCGGAGUGGUUUAAGUCCAUUUGAGGCAACAUGUGACCAAAAAAGAGGGGAAAGGCCAUGAGAAACCAUUCUCCUCUCUAUUCUUCAAAAAUUGUGAAGGAAAGGUAGGUUCUGUGAGAACAAACCCAUAGGACAAAUUCGUGACCUACAGCUGAACAGCACAAAGAAUAAAUUAAAAUACACACUUUCCCUUGAACAGCUAGUAUAAGAGAAAUUGUAUAACUCCAGUAUCAAAGAUGAGAAACCCCCUUCAUAAAAAUCAUAUUAUUAUAUUCCAAUUCCUCCAAACUGUCUUCCAUCAUCAGAUCAAGAUGCCCUUGAGCAAGAUUGUCAAAUGCCGCACAAGCUCUUCUGCAACAUCAGAAAUAACAUACUAAACAAGUACACUAAGCAUAAGAGUAAAAAAAAUGGAGUAGAACAAGUUCUACAAUCAAGGUUAAGGAACCUCCUCCAUGAAAAAUACAUAUCAUGCUCCAAUCCACCCAGACUGUCUUGAGCACUCAAGGUCCCCACUGUCCCACUGGUAUUUAAAACCUUGGUGAUGGUCAAACAAAUGAGAGGAAGUCACAAGGUUACUGGAACAACAGGAAUGAAUGAGAGGUUUAAUAAGACUUGGAACAUAGAUAUGAAACAUAGUACAGCAUAUCAGCUGCAAAACAACUUAUCAACAUAGCAUCCAUCUUGUUCCCAACAGAAUUGAGCCUCCAUAUUGCCUUCCUGAUCAAAACAAUAUUUUGGCGAAGCAAAUAGAAAGAAUUAUUAAGAUAUCAACCCAAAGGAAUAAAACCAACUAGUGAAAAAAAAAGGGUAAUCAGGACCAUAAAGGUAUCAAACAAUAAGUACAACAUAAACAAGGACAAACUCUUCCAUAUGGGCAAAACUCUGUCUUACAGCACAAGCUCAUCUGCAACAGAACAAAUAAUAAAUUUACUUUCAUGAUUCCACAUGAACAUCUACUGUAGGGAAAAGCUAGUACAACAAACUUUUCAUAUCAAGGUACCCAUAAGCAAGAUUAUCCCAUGAUGCCCAAGAUCUUCUGCAACAGCGGAAGUACAAACUGACCUAUCACAUGAACUCUACGUGUAAGAAGAAAAAUUAAUAAAACCAAUUCUAAGUCUAGGUUGAGGAACUCCAUGAAUGAAAAAGCAUAUCAUACUCCAAUUCACCCAGACUACAUUAAGCAUUCAAGUUACUGGUCAAACAAAUGAGAGGAAAACAUCAAUGCAAUAGGAAUGAAUGAAAUUUUGGAACACAGAUGAAACUAAGAAACUUGAUACAGCAAAUCAGUUGCAAGUAUUUUAAUUAGCAAUUCACUGGUUCUAGUGAAACAACUGUAAGAAUCAAUAAGCUAAUAACCCAACACAUAUGAUUAACAGUAUGGAAUAAAGAUGAAAUUAGAAUAAUGUGCAUCAAAUAUUAACUCAUAUAUCCACUGUUGGAUUCAUUUUGUUUCCAACAUGCACCAAGUAGGACUCCCAUGGAGUGGGAGACUAGGGCCUAAACCAUGAAAAUGUGACUGUUUACAAGUAACUGAAUCCAGACUUUUACAGAAUUUGAACAAAUGUGCAUCGAGAAUUAAGUCCUGCUGGAUUCAUUUUGUUUCCAAGAUGCACCAGCACUACAAGGAGUCAAACAUUAGGGCCUACAUGAAAAUGAAAUUGGUUACAGGAUAAUUUUACAGAAUUUGCCUUGAUCAAUAAGGAAUAUAUUCUCUUAUUUCGUGUUGAACCAGNNNNNNNNNNNNNNNNNNNNAACUGAAUCCAGACUUUUACAGAAUUUGAACAAAUGUGCAUCGAGAAUUAAGUCCUGCUGGAUUCAUUUUGUUUCCAAGAUGCACCAGCACUACAAGGAGUCAAACAUUAGGGCCUACAUGAAAAUGAAAUUGGUUACAGGAUAAUUUUACAGAAUUUGCCUUGAUCAAUAAGGAAUAUAUUCUCUUAUUUCGUGUUGAACCAGCAUUGAUAAACAGUCAAAUAAGAAGACAGAAGUCAACAAACAAUAGCCACAAUAUAAACAGUAAGGCAAAUUGCUUCCCAUAACAUAAGAUCUGCAAAAGCAACAAAUAUAACAGCUUAAAUUAUCACAUCAACAACAGUCCAAUUCCCAUAUCUCAAAUGACCGAAUCAGGGUACUGGUGAAACGAACUGGAGAAAACAAUUAAACCACUAACCAAAAGGAAUUAUUGGCACCUUAAAACAAAUUUAACCCACAGAUACCUCAAUUACAUGUAAAAGCUACAAGAUCACUAAUCGACAGUGUCAUUCAACACGCACCAGGAUGUACUGUAUCCUACAAUCUGUCAGAGAUGAAAAGAUGACCAGAGAUAGCGUAUUAGAAGAUAAUAAAGCUCAUUAAAAACAAACCAAAUCAGAAUUCUCCGGAUUUGACCGAAUCCAAAACAUGAACUAACUAAUUAUAAAGCAGAUUCAACAAAAGGCAAUAAGGAAGACAAUGUUUCAUAAACAAUAGCCACAAAUAUAAAGAAUGGCUUAACUAAGUGGGUCCCUAGAUCCCUUAAGCAAGACUAUUUCAAACACUACAAGCCCUUCAACAGAGAUAAUAAAUUAAUGUUUCACAUUACUCCUCGCACAGGUCAAAGAAUUAAAAUUUGCCAAACAGCUACAACUGAAAGUUCGGGUAAUCCCAUAAGCUGUUAAAAUGAGGGCAUGAUUAGAUGGAGGAAUAAUUCCACAAACCAACUGAAAUACAAACAUCCCUCAAAUACUAGAUAACAGUGAAAACAAGACAUAACUGUAUUAUAAGAAAAGUGAUUAUAAAGAACCUUGAAGGAGUUACCAUAGAUUAAGAUUGGCAGUUGAUGAUGUUAUUAAACAUAUACCAAGUAUAGCAUCUCCAUAAGAGGAAAUCUGAUAGCAAAAACAACAGAUGUGAUGGGCCUUAUGGUGGAUAAAAUUCAUGAAAUGUUGAGUAAUAGGUGAACUACAACCAAAAAGUGAGAUCUUACUAAUCCCAAAGCUAUCAACUGGAAGAAGCAACAUCAACAGACCAUAAGAUCAACCUGCAAACCACUACCAUUAGCUUGUUAUGAACAUGGUCAUGACUAGAUGCAACGAAUUUGCAAAUAAAAAAAAAGAAAUAAAAAUUCGCAAACUUUCUAUUUACCACACGAGCAAAUAUAGGUACAAGUACACAACCAAGACUUUCAGAGAACCAACCAAAAAGCCAAGAGCAGGUUAUCUCAGACAAGACCCUAGUCAUUGAAUAACAGCAAACAAUUAGGAUAAAGGAGGAAGCAAAUGAUAUCUAAAGGAAGAAAUAACCUUGAUUUUCAGGCCCUCAGCAAUUGCCAAGCUCAAGCUCUUGCAAAUAUGACAAAAAAAACACAAUAAUAAUUCACAUCUAGCCCACAGAAUAUGAAUAAUUUCAUGUACCAGAGCAGUCGCUCUGUCAGCAAAUCAUCUCUGCUUUUUGCUCUACGCAGUCGGCCAGUAGACUGAGUAGCAACAAGAAUGGUGAAAAAGAUGGUGGAUGAGUCCCAUAUAAUAGAUAAUCAGAACCUGAAAUACCUUGUAUCUCUGGAGCCAUCCAACAACUCCAACCCGUCGAACAUGAUGUUCAUUAUAUCCUUACAAGUACUACAGCAAAAGCAGCAAAGACCCAAUAACACAAACGAACAAAUGAAUAAGACAUUUAUAGCUUCAUAAUUGCUCCUCUAAAUGCUCUGAAUCAUGAAAAGCGAACACAAUCAAUUCGUCAGUUUGAUACUGGUAAAACGAGGUGAAUUGAGCAGUAUAACCUGAAGUAACAACGGAAUAAAGAGCAGAGGAAAUAUAUCCUAAGAAGCCACAGAAGAUGACUAAAGAUCAGAAGAAACUAUUAUGUCCCCACAGUGCUUGCCAACAGUAUAUGAUAGCUCUGAUCAGGUAGUGCAAUUUGUUGCCACAACAAAUCCUACCGCAACCAGACAGAAGGAUUUCAACAAACACAAGAAGUGGAAAAAAUCAUCUCACUGAUCACAUAUUGCUUCUCUGAAUCAAACCAAUUGAUCAAAUCUCAUUAUCUGAACAAAAUGAAAAUAAUCAAAGGAAAAGAAACCCCCUUCAAAACAAAACCAAUGUGGACACCUGCUUUAACAUCAUCUCUUUGAGUUGAAUUACUUGGAAAACAAGGGCAGCCUUCUCAAAAAUUGGAACCUAGAGAAACCAUCAAGAAUCAAAAACCAUGAUUAGAUUAAGCAUCAAAAUUAGAAAUCACUGUCACACUGCACAAUAAUAUUUUCAUCAUGUUUCAAACCAACUAAUCAAACCACCAUGUAAUAAAGAAACCCCCUUCACAAGAACUUCCGGCCUCUAAAUCAUGCCUCUUAUGUCCAACAUCAGAAUAUGGAAACCAAAAUAACACCGACUUAGAAUCAGGAACAUUCUCCGAAACAUAGAAACUGCUUCCAUGAUGAUUUCACACUGAAAAUAUUAUUAAAACAAAUACUGAAAACUCGUAACCCCAGCACCAGUGCUUCAACCGAAUGCAAGAAAAUCAUGAAGUAAAUCUGAACUCGGACUGUCAGAUUGGCGAUACUCAAAAAUCCAAUCAGAAUACACCACAGCUGAUUCCGGCAGAUUAACGAUGGAGCACCCCCAAUACCAGAAGAAAGAAACCUGAACCACUUGGAUUCUUUUUUAGGAAAAAAAGGAAACUAAACCACAAGAGACCAGAUUCAAUCGUCAAAUCCUCAAACAAGAACAAACAGCUCAAAAUUCUGCGAACCCUAAAAACCAAGUCGCAAAAAAUUCCUUAAUUACUGCAAAUCUUUAACUUAAAUUCAUCCUCUGAAUCAUGCCUAUCUUGUCCAACACCGUAAGAUGGAAUCUAUAGGUAACAUUGAAUUGGCAUCAGGAACAUCUCUUUUGAGACAUCCAGAAACCACUAAUCAGGCUGCAAAAUAAUGCUUGUGUGAUGCUUUCAAACUGAAAAUAGAAUUAUUAAAAUGAAUACCAAAAACUGUAAUACUGGCAGCAGGAAAAUCAUAAGCAAGUCUGAACUCAUACUGUCGGAUUGGAAAUAUUCAAAAGCGAUUAAUACAUUGCAACAAAUACGUGUAGAUUAACAAAAGAGCACUCCCAGAUCCAACCAAAAAAAAAAACUCAAUCCACUGGAAUUCUUUUCAAAAAGAAAAAAGUCACAUGAAACCAGAUUCGAUUGCCAAGUCAAAAAGACUACUGCAAAUCUUCAAGAAACUCACUACCUUAUUAAAUGCAAAUCUUCUAGAAAUCUACAUCCACUUGCAAGCAACAAUAGAGUAAAACCAUCAAUAAUCUUUAUCUGAUAAUGAAAUUAAGAAGCCAACAGUAAUGUAAAUAAUUAAAAUAUAAUGAAAUCGCAUAAGCCAGUGAGCCCCUUCCAUUCAUCGGCUGAAAUGUCACCUAUAGUACUACCGCCAAGGUUCGCUGUACCGGUCGGUACCAGUCGGUACCGAGCGUACCGUACCCGUACCGAUGGGUACUGGUAUCGGUACACCAAUGUCGGUACGGUCGGUACCGAGCGUACGGUACCGUACCGACACUCGGUACGCCUAUACUAGUGCGGCACCGGUACGGGGUUCGGUACCGGUACGGCGAACCUUGACUACCGCCAUCAUCAACAGUUGCUUCAUUCCUUGGAUUCCCCCAUGGUGGCUUCACUGAUCAAAUCAAAUUUCUGGUGAAGCAAAAGAGAGAAAUACUGACCCAUAUCAAAAGUUACUCACUCACUCAGCAAUAGCAGCUAAAAUGUAACAGCUACUAAGUCACUCAGCAGUAGCAGAAUAUAUAUCAAUUCCCAUACACACCAAUGCAUGAAAAAUCACCGCUUUACUUGGACUGCUCCAUUCUGCCUUCACUGAUCAAAUCACUUUUCUGGUAAGGCAAAUGACAGGAUUGCCAAAGAUAACAAAAUAUUUAAGUAAUUGGAACAAGUAUGAAAAAAACAGGCCCAGAAUAAGGGUAGCAGCUACUAUUAUAUCAGUUCUAAGACACGCCAUAGCCUACGAAAUAUAGUUUCAUGAUUAUCAAGACAAGCAAUAUAGUGCAAAUCCAACAGGAAAAAAAUGAAGCCCAUUACAAAUCAUAAUCCAGCAUUUUCCAAAAUAUACCAAGGGACCAGAUACAUUAAGAGAACACAAGCUAAUAAUGGAAAAAGGUGAUUAUUAGGUACACAAAUGCACGUAAACAAUGACUAGGAUUUAAAGGACAAACUCUGCUCUUCGCCUUGGAAAAAUUGCAUGCUGCAACAUAAGCACAAAUCAAUCUUCCAUGUGAAUAGUUUGUGUAGGAAAAAAAUAUCGCAAACUCCCAAAGCGAACCCUCUUAAUAUAAAAUAACAACAUUACACUCCAGUCUUUCAUAUAGUCUUCAAGAUCAAGAUACCCUGAGAAUGAUUGUUUCCCUGUUGCACAAGCUUUUCUGCAACAACAGAAAUAACAAGUUAUCUUAUCACACAAACUCUAAGUAUCAGGGAAAAUGACUAUAACUGAUUCUACAAUCAAGGCUGAGGACAACACCAGUGAAAAAGGUCAUAUCAUACUCCAAUUUGUGCGUACAUCCUAUAACGAUCAAGAAGCGGGUCAAUGAAAUGAGAGAUGAUCACCAGGUUACUAGAUCAAUAAGAAUGAGUGAUAUUCUUGAACCAAGAGAUAUCAGCUACAAAGCCACUUAACAAAAUAGCCUCCAUAUCAUAUGCUUUCGCACCUAAAGAACUGGCACUGCAUGAAGAUGAACACGAGCUAGAAAAUAGCUUCAACCCUAUGAAAUAAAAAAAAGGAUCAUCAAAGAUAACCAAAUCCAGAAUCUACUUACCUCCAUAGCCUAUAGUAUACAAAAACCAUCAAUAAUCCCAUUAUCUAUUUUACUAUAUAACACCAACUCCCUUAAUAUCUCAAUGCAUGAGGUGUGUCAGACCAUCAAUGUUUCCCCACCCAUGUUCCAUGUUUGCGUUUUCCCUUCAGUGCGGCUGUUACCAACAAGAUCAAAAAGUCCGAGUCCUUCCUCAUCAAAAAAUAAUGUGCAUCCCAUAUGCCGCAUCCUUGAUAAACAAGCAAUCAAGAAAGCAGGUCAGUUUCAUCAGGUUAUUUCCAGUCUAGUCUAGAAUCAACACCAAACGAAGCUUCAUCUUAACAACUACGUACACCGUAACUAAUGGGUAGCCCUUACCGUCUUUCUACAAUCUCCGAUUGGAAAUCCCUCAUUACAUUAGAACUGCACCUCAACAGCGAAAGACUUAUGUCNNNNNNNNNNNNNNNNNNNNNNNNNNNNNNNNNNNNNNNNNNNNNNNNAACCAGCUCACUAACGUUGCCAUUUCAGACAAGGAAUUUGGUUUGACAUCUCCCUAGUUUGCUCGGCUGAACGAACAGGUCUAAAUGGGUGGUAAGCCCGAAAUGUCACCCAAAACAGAAUCCAUUCUGUGAUGGAAAUACUAAUAAAUUAUUCUUCAACUCUGUAAUGUAACACUGUAGAUAGAGCGAGAAACAUAGCACAAUCAAAUUCAUAUGUAAAACAACCUAUCGCCCUGGACGCCCGUUUACUAGGAAGAUAAGAAUCAAAAAGGAUUGAACUACUAACUCAUUACUCAGAGGUGAAUCAUAUAACACCAAAAGCUGUGGUAUCUUGUGGACCUAACCCUCACAACAUAAACUGAAAGAUGCAAACCCUUCUCUUCAAAGUGGAUCAAGAAAAUUUCUUUCUUAAUAACUCCCCCAUGUUGCCUUCGCUGAUCAAAAUGAGGUGCUCUGAAAAGCAAAUAACAGGGUUGCUAAGAUAAUAACACAAAACAAAAACCUCGGUACUGAGAAUAAAGUUUCACAGAUUCUAAAUUAAGAUUGCAAAUGGAAAUUAGGAACACAAAGGUAUAUAAAUAAGAACUAUGAUAUUAGAAACAGACCUUUUCAGAAGGGCAAAUUUGUAAUCUACAGCACAAACUCGGCAACAGAACAAAUAAUAAAUUAACCUCCACAGUUUGAACAGGUAGUGCAGGAAAGAAUAGAAAUAUUAACUCCGCUAUCAAAGAUGACAAACCCCCUUUAUCAUUUCAUUCCUCCAAACUAUUUUCCAUUAUCAGAUCAAGAGUACCUUUGAGCAAGAAUGCCCCAAAUGCACAAGCUCUUCUGCAACGCUCAUGAGGUUGAAGAACCCCCUACAUAAAAAACAAAACAUACCUUCUCUCAUCCCCCCAAAAUGUCUCGUGCGCUCAAGGAAGUCAAACAAAUGGGAGAAGCUAACCAGGUCACUAAUGCAACAGGGAUGAAUGAGAUCGUGGAAAAUAGAUGAAACUAAGAAACUUGAUAUAGCAUAUCAGCUGCAAACCCAACAUAGUAAUGUGUUAUUUCCAACAUGCUGGACUCCUAAAGAAUUUGUGGAAGCAAGAAAGCACCAUCAUGGAAAACACUUUCUUAAUCCCAGUUAAUCAUACUUUCAGUGUUUAGAACAAAGAUUGACAAAUUAUAAAUUAAUCUUGAAAAUGGCCAACUAUAAAUAUGGACAAACCCUUCUACAUGGGCAAAAUCAUAACCUGCAGCAGAAGUUACCGCCACAGCACAAACCAUAUAGUAACUUUCACCAUUCCCCAUAAACAGCUAGUAUAGGAAAAAGUAGUAUAAUACCUCCACUAUCAAAGAUGAGAAACCCCCUUAAUAAAAAAUCAUAUCACUAUGAUCCAUUUCCUUCGAACUGUCUUCCAUUAUCAGGUAAAGAUGCCCUUGAGCAAGAUCGCCUGAUGUUGUACAAGCUCUUCUGCGACAUCAGAAAUAACAAACCUAUGACGUGAACUUUAAGUUCGAGAAAAAAAUAGAAAUAUUAUCGAUUCUAUAAUAAAGGUUGAGGAACACCCUCCAUCAAAAGAGCAUAUCAUGAUCCAAUCCCCCAAGCUAUCUUGAGAACCGAUGGUUCUGGUCAAACAAAUGAGAGAACAUCACCAGGUCAUUAAUAACACAAAUGACAUUUCUGGAACAUAGAUAUGAAACUCGAUACAGCAUAUAAAAAGCAGAUCCACUUAUCGAUAUCUUCACUGUCAUGCCCCACAUGCUGUGACCCCUAGAUUAUCAGUGGAAGUUNNNNNNNNNNNNNNNNNNNNNNNNNNNNNNNNNNNNNNNNNNNNNNNNNNNNNNNNNNNNNNNNNNNNNNNNNNNNNNNNNNNNNNNNNNNNNNNNNNNNNNNNNNNNNNNNNNNNNNNNNNNNNNNNNNNNNNNNNNNNNNNNNNNNNNNNNNNNNNNNNNNNNNNNNNNNNNNNNNNNNNNNNNNNNNNNNNNNNNNNNNNNNNNNNNNNNNNNNNNNNNNNNNNNNNNNNNNNNNNNNNNNNNNNNNNNNNNNNNNNNNNNNNNNNNNNNNNNNNNNNNNNNNNNNNNNNNNNNNNNNNNNNNNNNNNNNNNNNNNNNNNNNNNNNNNNNNNNNNNNNNNNNNNNNNNNNNNNNNNNNNNNNNNNNNNNNNNNNNNNNNNNNNNNNNNNNNNNNNNNNNNNNNNNNNNNNNNNNNNNNNNNNNNNNNNNNNNNNNNNNNNNNNNNNNNNNNNNNNNNNNNNNNNNNNNNNNNNNNNNNNNNNNNNNNNNNNNNNNNNNNNNNNNNNNNNNNNNNNNNNNNNNNNNNNNNNNNNNNNNNNNNNNNNNNNNNNNNNNNNNNNNNNNNNNNNNNNNNNNNNNNNNNNNNNNNNNNNNNNNNNNNNNNNNNNNNNNNNNNNNNNNNNNNNNNNNNNNNNNNNNNNNNNNNNNNNNNNNNNNNNNNNNNNNNNNNNNNNNNNNNNNNNNNNNNNNNNNNNNNNNNNNNNNNNNNNNNNNNNNNNNNNNNNNNNNNNNNACCAUUGUGAACCAGCUCAAACUAAACCAAGCGGAACCAUUAGGUUUUGCUCGGUUCGGAGUGGUUUAAGUCCAUUUGAGGCAACAUUUGACCAAAAAAGAGAGGAAAGGCCAUGAGAUACCAUUCUCCUCUCUAUUCUUCAAAAAUUAUGAAGGAAAGGUAGGUUCUGUGAGAACAAACCCUUAGGGCAAAUUCGUGACCUACAGCUGAACAGCACAAAGAAUAAAUUAACAAUACACACUUUCCCUUGAACAGCUAAUAUAAGAGAAAAUGUAUAACUCCAGUAUCAAAGAUGAGAAACCCCCUUCAUAAAAAUCAUAUCAUUAUAUUCCAAUUCCUCCAAACUGUCUUCCAUCAUCAGAUCAAGAUGCCCUUGAGCGACAUUGUCAAAUGUCGCACAAGCUCUUCUGCAACAUCCGAAAUAACAUACUAAACAAGUAUCAAAGCAUAAGAGUAAAAAAAAUGUAGUAGAACAAGUUCUACAAUCAAGGUUGAGGAACCCCUCCAUGAAAAAUACAUAUCAUGCUCCAAUCCACCCAGACUGUCUUGAGCACUCGAGGUCCCCACCGUCCCACCGGUAUUUAAAACCUUGGUACUGGUCAAACAAAUGAGAGGAAGUCACAAGGUUACUGGAACAACAGGAAUGAAUGAGGUUUAAUAAGACUUUGGAACAUAGAUGUGAAACUUAGUACAGCAUAUCAGCUGCAAAACAACUUAUCAACAUAGCAUCCAUCUUGUUCCCAACAGAAGUGAGUCUCCAUAUUGCCUUCCUGAUCAAAACAAUAUUCUGGUGAAGCAAAUAGAAAGAAUUAUUAAGAUAUCAACCCAAAGGAAUAAAACCAACUAGUGAAAAAAAGGGUAAUCAGGAACAUAAAGGUAUCAGUAUCAAAGAAGGAAAGGUAGGUUAUGUGAGAACAAACCCUUAGGGCAAAUUCGUGACCUACAGCUGAACAGCACAAAGAAUAAAUUAAAAAUACACGCUUUCCCUUGAACAGCUAGUAUAAGAGAAAUUGUAUAACUCCAGUAUCAAAGAUGAGAAACCUCCUUCAUAAAAAUCAUAUCACUAUAUUUCAAUUCCUGCAAAUUGUCUUCCAUCAUCAGAUCAAGAUGCCCUUGAGCAAGAUUGUCAAAUGCCGCACAAGAUCUUCUGCAACAUCGGAAAUAACAUACUAAACAAGUACUCUAAGCAUAAGAGUAAAAAAAACGUAGUAGAACAAGUUCUACAAUCAAGGUUGAGGAGCCCCCUCCAUGAAAAAUACAUAUCAUGCUCCAAUCCACCCAGACUGUCUUGAGCACUCAAGGUCCCCACUGUCCCACCAGUAUUUAAAACCUUGGUACUGGUCAAACAAAUGAGAGGAAGUCACAAGGUUACUAGAACCACAGGAAUGAAUGAGAGGUUUAAUAAGACUUUGGAACAUAGAUAUGAAACUUAGUACAGCAUAUCACCCGCAAAACAACUUAUCAACAUAGCAUCCAUCUUGUUCCCAACAGAAGUGAGUCUCCAUAUUGCCUUCCUGAUCAAAACAAUAUUCUGGUGAAGCAAAUAGAAAGAAAUAUUAAAAUAUCAACCCAAAGGAAUAAAACCAACUAGUGAAAAAAAAGGGUAAUCAGGAACAUAAAGGUAUCAAACAAUAAGUACAACAUAAACAAGGACAAACCCUUCCAUAUGGGCAAAACUCUGUCUCACAGCACAAAAUCAUCUGCAACAGAACAAAUAAUAAAUUAACUUUCAUGAUUCCACAUGAACAGCUACUGUAGGGAAAGGCUAGUACAACAAACUUUUCAUAUCAAGAUACCCAUAAGCAAGAUUAUCCCAUGAUGCCCAAGAUCUUCUGCAAUAGCGGAAGUACAAACUGACCUAUCACAUGAACUCUAGGUGUAAGGAGAAAAAUUAAUAAAACCAAUUCUAAGUCUAGGUUGAGGAACUCCAUGAAUGAAAAAGCGUAUCAUACUCCAAUUCACCCAGACUACAUUAAACAUUCAAGUUACUGGUCAAACAAAUGAGAGGAAAACAUCAAUGCAAUAGGAAUGAAUGAGAUUUUGGAACACAGAUGAAACUAAGAAACUUGAUACAGCAAAUCAGCUGCAAGUAUUUUAAUUAGCAACCUUGUCCAUCACCUAGAUGUUCUCUUACAGCACAAGCUCUUCUGCAAUAACAGAAAUAAUUAACCUUAUAAACAACAUGGUUAGAGAAAAAUUAAUAAAACCAAAUAGUGAGGAAACCCUACAAAUUGCCUUCACUGGUUCUAGUGAAACAAAUGUAAGAAUCAAUAAGCUAAUAACCCAACACAUAUGAUUAACAGUAUGGAACAAAGAUGAAAUUAGAAUAAUGUGCAUCAAAUAUUAACUCAUUUAUCCACUGUUGGAUUCAUUUUGUUUCCAACAUGCACCAAGUAGGACUCCCAUGGAGUCAGAGACUAGGGCCUAAACAAUGAAAAUGAGACUGUUUACAAGUAACUGAGUCCAGAAUUUUACAGAAUUUGAACAAAUGUGCAUCGAGAAUUAAGUCCUGCUGGAUUCAUUUAGUUUCCAAGACGCACCAGCACUACAAGGAGUCAAACAUUAGGGCCUACAUGAAAAUGAAACUGGUUCCAGGAUAACUUUACAGAAGUUGCCUUGAUCCCUAAGGAACACAUUCUCUUAUUUCGUGUUGAACCAGCAUUGAUAAACAGUCAAUUAAGAAGACAGAAGUCAAUAAACAAUAGCCACAAUAUAAACAGUAAUGCAAAUUGCUUCCCAUAACAUAAGAUCUGCAAAAGCAACAAAUAUAACAGCUUAACCUUAUCACAUCAACAACAGUCCAAUUCCCCAUAUGUCAAAUGACCGAAUCAGGGUACUGGUGAAACGAACUGGAGAAAACAAUUAAACCACUAACCAAAAGAAAUUAUUGGCACCUUAAAACAAAUUUAACCCACAGAUACCUCAAUUACAUGUAAAAGCUACAAAAUCACUAAUCGACAGUGUCAUUCAAAACGCACCCAGGAUGUACUGAAUCCUACAAUCUGUCAGAUAUGAAAAAAUGACCAGAGAUAGCGUAUUAGAAGAUAAUAAAGCUCCUUAAAAACAAACCAAAUCAGAAUUCUCCGGAUUUGACCGAAUCCAAAACAUGAACUAACUAAUUAUAAAGCAGAUUCAACAAAAGGCAAUAAAGAAGACAAUGUUUAAUAAACAAUAGCCGCAAAUAUAAAGAAUGGUUUAACUUAGUGGGUCCCUAGAUCCCUUAAGCAAGACUAUUUCAAACACUACCAGCCCUUCAACAGAGAUAAUAAAUUAAUGUUUCACAUUACUCCUCGCACAGGUCAAAGAAUUAAAAUUUGCCAAACAGCUACAACUGAAAGUUCGGGUAAUCGCAUAAGCUGUUAAAAUGAGGGCAUGAUUAGAUGGAGGAAUAAUUCCACAAACCAACUGAAAUACAAACAUCCCUCAAAUACUAGAUAACAGUGAAAACAAGACAUAUAUGUACGAUAAGAAAAGUGAUUAUAAAGAACCUUGAAGGAGUUACCAUAGAUUAAGAUUGGCAGUUGAUGAUGCUAUUAAACAUAUACCAAGUAUAGCAUCUCCACAAGAGGAAAUCUGAUAACAAAAACAACAGAUGUGAUGGGCCUUAUGGUGGACAAAAUUGAUGAAAUGUUGAGUAACAGGUGAACUACAACCAAAAAUUGAGAUCUUACUACUCCCAAAGCUAUCAACUGGAAGAAGCAACGUCAACAGACUAUAAGAUCAACCUGCAAACCACUACCAUUAGCUCGUUAUGAACAUGGUCAUGACUAGAUGCAACGAAUUUGCAAUUAAAAAAAAGAAAUAAAAAUUCGUAAACUUUAUAUUUACCAUACGAGCAAAUAUAGGGACAAGUACACAACCAAGACUUUCGGAGAACCAACCAAAAAGCCAAGAGCAGGUUAUCUCAGACAGGACCCUAAUCAUUGAAUAACAGCAAACAAUUAGGAUAAAGGAGGAAGCAAAUGAUAUCUAAAGGAAGAAAUAACCCUGAUUUUCUGGCCCUCAGCAAUUGCCAAGCUCAAGCUCUUGAAAAUACGACAAAAAAAACACAACAAUAGUUCACAUCUUACCCACGGAAUAUGAAUAAUUUGAAGUACCAAAGUAGUCGCUCUCUCAGCAAAUCAUCUCUGCUUUUUUGCUCAAAGCAGUUGACCAGUGGACUGAUUAGCAACAAGAAUGGUGAAAGAGAUGGUGGAUGAGUCCCAUAUAAUAGAUAAUCAGAACAUGAAAUACAUUGUAUCUCUGGAGCCUUCCAACAACUCCAACCCGUCGAACAUGAUGUUCAUUAUAUCCUUACAAAUACUACAGCAAAAGCAGCAAACACUCAAUAACACAAAUGAACAAAUGAAUAAGACAUUUAUAGCUUCAUAAUUGCUCCUCUAAAUGCUCUGAAUCAUGAAAAGCGAACACAAUCAAUUCGUCAGUUGAUCCUAAAUGAUCAGAUGAUUAGAGUACUUGAGAAACCCAAUCUUGAAUUCAGCCAAGACAAGUAUAGAGUACGAGCAAAUAUAGGGACAAGUACACAACCAGGACUUUCGGAGAACCAACCAAAAAGCCAAGAGCAGGUUAUCUCAGACAGGACCCUAGUCAUCGAAUAACAGCAAACAAUUAGGAUAAAGGAGGAAGCAAAUGACAUCUAAAGGAAGAAAUGGCCCUGAUUUUCCGGCCCUCAGCAAUUGCCAAGCUCAAGCUCUUGCAAAUACGACAAAAAAACACAAUAAUAAUGCACAUCUAGCCCGCAAAAUAUGAAUAAUUUCAAGUACCAAAGUAGUCGCCCUGUCAGCAAAUCAUCUCUGUUUUUUGCUCUAAGCAGUCGUCCAAUAGACUGAGUAGGAACAAGAAUGGUGAAAGAGAUGGUGUAUGAGUCCCAUAUAAUAGAUAAACAGAACCUGAAAUACCUUGUAUCUCUGGAGCCAUCCAACAACUCCAACCCGUUCGAACAUGAUAUUCAUCAGAUCCUUACAAUACUACAGCAAAAGCAGCAAACACUCAAUAACACAAACGAACAAAUGAAUAAGACAUUUAUAGCUUCAUAAUUGCUCCUCUAAAUGCUCUGAAUCAUGAAAAGCGAACACAAUUAAUUCGUCAGUUGAUCCUAAAUGAUCACAUAAUUAGAGUACAUGAGAAACCCAAUCUUGAAUUCCAGCCUCUGCAUCAUAUUUCAUAAAUCCAUCAUUAAGUAAUCACUUGACACUGGUAAAACGAGGUGAAUUGAGCAGUAUAACCUGGAGUAACAACGGAAUAAAGAGCAGAGGAAAUAUAUCCUAAGAAGCCACAGAAGAUGACUAAAGAUCAGAAGAAACUAUCAUGUCGCCACAGUGCUUGCAAACAGUAUAUGAUAGCUCUGAUCAGGUAGUGCCAUUUGUUGCCACAACAAAUCCUACCGCAACCAAAUAGAAGGAUUUCAACAAACACAAGAAGUGGAAAAAAUCAUCUCACUGAUCACAUAUUGCUUCUCUGAAUCAAACCAAUUGAUCAAAUCACAUUAUCUGAACAAAAUGAAAUAAUCAAAGGAAAAGAAACCCCCUUCAAAACAAUACCAAUGCGGACGCCUGCUUUAACAUCAUCUCUUUUGAGUUGAAUUACUUGGAAAACAAGGGCAGCCUUCUCAAAAAUUGGAACCUAGAGAAACCAUCAAGAAUCAAAAACCAUGAUUAGAUUAAGCAUCAAAAUUAGAAAUCACUGUCACACUGCACAAUAAUAUUUUCAUCAUGUUUCAAACCACCAUGUAAUAUAGAAACCCCCUUCAUAAGAACUUCCGGCCUCUAAAUCAUGCCUCUGAUGUCCAACAUCAGAAUAUGGAAACCAAAAUAACACCGACUUAGAAUCAUGAACAUUCUCCGAAACAUAGAAACUGCUUCCAUGAUGAUUUCACACUGAAAAUAUUAUUAAUACAAAUACUGAAAACUCGUAACCCCAGCACCAGUGCUUCAACCGAAUACAAGAAAAUCAUGAAGUAAAUCUGAACUCGGACUGACAGAUUGCUGAUACUCAAAAAUCCAAUCAGAAUACACCACAGCUAAUUCCUGCAGAUUAACGAUGGAGCACCCCCAAUACCAGAAGAAAGAAACCUGAACCACUUGGAUUCUUUUUUAGGAAAAAAAGGAAACUAAAUCACAAGAGACCAGAUUCAAUCGUCAAAUCCUCAAAUAAGAACAAACAGCUCAUAAUUCUGCGAACCCUAAAAACCAAGUCGCAAAAAAUUCCUUAAUUACCGCAAAUCUUCAACUUGAAUUUCAGCCUCUGAAUCAUGCCUAUCUUGUCCAACACCGUAAGAUGGAAUCUAAAGUAACAUUGAAUUGGCAUCAGGAACAUCUUUUUUAAAACAUCCCGACACCACUAAUCAGGCUGCAAAAUAAUGCUUGUGUGAUGCUUUCAAACCUCGGUACAAAGAAUAAAGAUUGACAGAUUCUAAAUUAAGAUUGCAAAUGGAACUUAGGAACACAAAGGUAUAUAAAUAAGAACUAUGAUAUUAGAAACAAACCCUUCCAGAACGGUAAAUUUGUAAUUUACAGCACAAACCCUGCAACAGAACAAAUAAUAAAUUAACUCCACAGUUUGAACAGCUAGUGCAGGAGAAAUAUUAACUCCACUAUCAAAGAUGACAAACCCACUUAAUCAUUUCAUUCCUCCAAAUUAUUUUUCAUUAUCAGAUCAAUAGUACCUUUGAGCAAGAAUGCCCCAAAUGCACAAGCUCUUCUGCAACGCUAAUGAGGUUGAAGAACCCCCUACAUAAAAAAGAAACAUACCUUCUCUCAUCCACCCAAAAAUGUCUCGAGCGCUCAAGGAAGUCAAACAAAUGGGAGAAGCUCACCAGGUCACUAAUGCAACAGGGAUGAAUGAGAUCGUGGAAAAUAGAUGAAACUAAGAAACUUGAUACAGCAUAUCAGCAGCAAAACCACUUACCAACAUAGUAUGUGUUAUUUCCAACAUGCUUGACUCCUAAAGAAUUUGUGAAAGCAAGUAAGCACCAUCAUGGAAAACCCUUUCUUAAUCCCAGUUAAUCAUACUUUCAGUGCUUAAAACAAAGAUUGACAAAUUAUAAAUUAAUCUUGAAAAUGGCCAACUAUAAAUAUGGACAAACCCUUCUACAUAGGCAAAAUCACAACCUGCAGCAGAAGUUACUGCCACAACACAAACCAUAUAGUAACUUUCACCAUUCCCCAUCAACAGCUAGUAUAGGAAAAAGUAAUAUAAUACCUCCACUAUCAAAGAUGAGAAACCCCCUUAAUAAAAAAUCAUAACACUAUGAUCCAUUUCCUUCGAACUGUCUUCCAUUAUUAGGUAAAGAUGCCCUUGAGCAAGAUCACCUGAUGUUGUACAAGCUCUUCUGCGACAUCAGAAAUAACAAACCUAUGACGUGAACUUUAAGUUUGAGAAAAAAAUAGAAAUAUUAACAAUUCUAUAAUAAAGGUUGAGGAACACCCUCCAUCAAAAAAGCAUAUCAUGAUCCAAUCCCCCAAGCUAUCUUGAGAGCCGAUGGUUCUGGUCAAACAAAUGAGAGAAUAUCACCAGGUCAUUAAUAACACAAAUGACAUUUCUGGAACACAGAUAUGAAACUCGAUACAGCAUAUAAAAAGCAGAUCCACUUAUCGAGAUCAUCACUUUCAUGCCCCACAUGCUGUAACCCCAAGAUUAUCAGUGGAAGUCAGGAACCCUUGUCAUGAAAAAUCCUUUCUUAACC